GUAUUACUUCUUAUCCAAUCUUUCGUUUUAGUUUUUCAAUGUUCUGGAAUUAUCCGAUCUUGAAAUGGAUGAGCUUUAUGUUUUUUUCUCUAUAAUUGUUGAAUAAAAAUACAUUUUUUGGGAUGGCGAUGGUUAUUUUUGUUGGGAUUUUUUAGGUUUGUAAGUCUUUCUAUUUUCUAAUGGUAGAUAUAGUCUAUGCGUUUUCUAACUUUUUAGGUGUUUUCUUCACUUUCUGUUUAGCUAAGUUUAUUAGCUUGGGGGAAUGCAGGAUUUUUAUAGCUUUAUCGGCUGCUGAUAUUACCUACUUACGGGAGUUCUGCUGGAUUUUAAUCUGGGAUUGGAGAUGUUUAUCUUUACCUUUCUAUGGUCAAAAUUUUGUAUUCUCAGAUUUUUAUUCUUUUCUUGUUUAAUUAAAUUACUUAGGCUUGCUGUUCCUUUGGUGCAGAGUUGCCACCCUCUAAGUAAAUAAAAAAAUUGUAGGAAUUUUAUGAUAUUCACUUGCUUUUGUGGCUGUACUCCAUGUCACACCUGUUCUCGUAGUUGAUUUUUGGUUGCCAUUUUGUAAAUAUAGAUAUUCUCUUCAACUAUAAUUGUCAAAGCUGGCAUUUUUCCUGAAAUUAGAUGUGCACACAUGUAAUUUGCUUGUUGUGUAAACAAUCUCUACAGAAAUUGUGAUUUUUCUUCAAGGAUCCUCUCUUCCCAUUUUUAAACACCUAUCUAUUUUAUGUGAAGUGGGUGAUAACAACUAGACACGAGCAACUGCCUUGUAAGUACAGCGUCUUAGAAUUCAAGUUGCUGGGAAUGUUUGAAAUGCGUGUAUCAGCAUUGUCUUUUGGUUAAUAUUGAGUGCCAUUAUAUGGUGAUGGAUCUGUAAUAAGCUUAUUCUUUGUUUUUAGAUUUUCCAUGUUAUUGGUCAAUAUUAUCAAAGUGAUGUGCUUAGUUGCUCCAUCUAUUUUGCCUCCAUCAGGCAUUGUAAGUGGGCUUAAGCAUUUAACUUCUGAGAAAGAUGUGCUUUCGUACGACUGAGUUUUGAAAGCGCGAGUAUUUUUACUGUGCCACAAGAUCAUAUCAACUACAAAUAUCAACCUACUGGCAGAUUCAGGAAUUUUGUUUAAGCGGCUCCAGUCAUCUAUACAAGCUUUCUAAUUUAAAAAUUUUUGGGAACUAACUAAUAAAUUUGCUUACCUGGUGGAAAGUCAACUUAGACGAUUAAAAAUAAUAAGCAUAAGGCAGUGAAAAAUGAAUAAAAGAAGGGUGCAGUUUAAAUCCAUUGUACAGGGGCCACUGGAGCCUGACGCUUGUCAGGGGGAUCUUGAUAUUUGAGCACCACAGAUGGUCACUUUGGAUAUAUGCCCACCAACAGCCUUAUUGGCAUCAGUUGUCAAAAAGAAGAAACAUGUCUUUCCUAAAAUAGAAAUAAGAAGAAAAGGAAAUUGGUAGACACAAAUAUGUUGCUUGAAUACAAAGACAGAAAUUCAUCAUUGUCACAAAUGAAACUGAAACCUUAAAUUGAGAAAUAGUUCACAAUCAUAUCUGUAAAAGUGAGUAUGUAUAGAAUGAGUUCACGAGAAGGAAAGCAUGCUUGGACAGAUACAAACAAUUUUUUCAUCACAAACAAAUACAACCUGAUACCUCUGUAAUGUGGCUUCUAAGUUCUAGUGGAUUUGCACUGCAUGGGGGUAUCAGAAGUUUGAUAUUCCAUGGGUUCAGUGGGUCCUACUCUACUUUUGAUCAAUAACAGGAAGCGUGAAAAGAUAACUAUAGCAAAGCUCUUUGAGUCACAACUUCAAAAAUUUUGUGCCAUAAAUCUUGCCCCCUCCAACCAAAUUUAUGCUAAACAUGAUUUGCCUCUGCCACACAGGCAUGUUAUCAAUUUAUUCCUAAAGGGGUUGCCUUGGUGCUAAACCGAUCUUGCAAAGGGACCCCAAAAGUGUAGGUUGUGAUAUCUAUGGAAAUUAUCAAUACUUAAAGAUCUCAUUUGGAAGAUGACCUUGCAAUGAGCUUGGAUCACAUGUGAAUCUGUAGGUAUAUAUCCAGUUUUUGACACUUUAGAAAUUCCAGGGUUGCAAGCACCCCUCUUGCCCCUGGAUCAUGUUAAGUCAGACCAGGAAUACGAUCCAAAUCAGUAUAGCUAUAUCAUGAACUAAUACAAGAACUAUAAUAGAAAAUCCAUGAAAUUGAAGUAGAUUACUUGUAUCAAAGUGAAGUACAUAUUUAUGUUGCAUCAUACAGCUUAAAAUGGAUUUCUUCAUUCUUUUUUCAUACGCAGAACUAUAGAUAGAUACUUUAAACACAAGAGAAUGUAAUAUUGUACCAUGCAUGUGAAAUACACCAUAGAUGCUGUCAGCUUUAAGUUGAUUUUUUUUUUAAAAGUAUAUCAACCCACAAGUAGUGGUGUUUUUGGUGUUCAGAAGUCUCCAAUUUAUUGAAUUUAUUGAAUAGUUUUUCUUGGAUGCAUAUGAAAGAUACCAUUACCUAGCAUAUAAUACCAAAAUUUUAUGAUUCAUGUCAUGUAAUUUUUAUGUUGAAAAAUACUAUUAAUGCUUAGAGUUGGGAUGAAUUAUGCAAUUGCAGGUAUGUCCCAUUUGUGCAGCUAGGGUUGGUUUGGACUUGGUUGGGCACAUAACAACACAGCAUGGAAGUUUCUUCAAUAUAUCCUUUUGUCUUUAUGAAUGACUAUCAUCUUUUUUGAAGUUUAAACUAAUAAUGUUAUGCUUAGAAGGUUAUUGUAUUUCUUUAUAUAUUUAUAAAAUGGUCAUGAUUGGUGUUUAAAUAAUUUUAGCAAUUGAAUUCCUUAAUAGAAAAUCACAUGCAAUAUAGAAGGAGAUUCCGCAGAGGUUCACCUGGGUCCCAUUCAAUGCUAUCUUUGUUGAGAAAGGAUCUAAGGGAAGGCAAUCUACAAUCUCUUCUUGGAGGAUCUUCCUACAUGGCUGGCCCUUCUGCUGCGGCACCUGAUCCCUUUCUGUCAUCAUUGAUUUACACUUUACCUGUGGCUGAGGCAUCAAGAGAUGUACAACCUGAGUCUUUGGAUGAAGGAAGUCUGGUUAACAAGAGUUUAGAUGAAAAGGUUGCAGAGAGGUAUGAUGUGUUGGAUUCAUGGUUUAAUGUUCCCAUCUUCCCUAUGUCACAAGAAUUUGGUGUAUGCUAGAUGAUUGAAACAGGUGAUAUUUAUGGUAAUUUAAUGUUCCCGUCUUUCCUAUGUCUUAAGAAUCUGGUGUCAGCAUGAUUGAAACUGGUGAUAUUGUUUAUUUCUUGCAACUUAUCAAUGGUUCAGCAACUUCCCUUUUUUUCAAAAAAUGUUCUUUUCAGAAGUCUUAAAUACUUUAAUUAUCACUUAUUUUGUAGUGAAGAUAAUUAUCAUUUUGGACAAGCACAUGAUGCAUGAUGUUCCGUACUAGUUAUAAAAAGUAAAAUCUAUGAGGACAAUAAUGCAUAUUAAUCACCAGAAUUAUUACUUUGUAAGUUAAAGUUUAAAUUAGGUGGAGUAUGAGAUCAAGAAAUGCAGAUAAACUUAUGGAUUAUUGUACUAUAAUUUUCAGUAUUGUAUUUUGUGUUGAAUCAUAUGGUGGCCUCAAGUUAUUCUUGAUGCUUUUCUCUAUCUCUACUAUAUGGAUGUUAUGCAAUUUUUUCAUACUGUGGAAGGAAAAAUUGUAUUGCAUCAUGCUAUGCUUUAACUUGCAUCACAAUGUAUAUUCAAUUAGAAGUACAUCAAGAUUUGCUAUACCGGUGUGUAUCGUUGUGUAUCGGAUGUAAUGUACCGUACCGUUACCGAACUGAGGCUCGAUAUGGGGGGCGUAUUGAGUCUUGGUAUACUGAACCGAUCCUCGUACCGGGCAUACCGACAUUGUACCAGCAUGGCAACUGGUACGACACUGGUACCAAAAUGGCGAACCUUUAAGUGCAUUGUUUUGCCUGAUCACAACUAAUGGCCCAAACAUUCAAAUGCAUCAUUUAACCUCUUAAUUAUGUUGUACAUCAUUUAUCAAUUCUGAUUCAAUUUAAAUGCGAGUUAGUAGCAAAUGUUUGAAUGAUUCAAUUUAAGGUAAUGCUCAUGGACGGUGGGAUUGGAUUUUUGGGAUGGCAACAUUGGGAGCUUGUGAUGUCGGAUAUCACUAUCAUUCCUAAAGCUUGUAAUAGUGAAAGCAUGAUUUAUGGUUUUCCCUCGAGGGAUAUCAUCGAAGCUUUGGGGUGACAACCAAAAUUUAACUCUAUCAUCUACAGGAUGAACCUAUGCUCUAGUCAACUGCCAUCACUCCAAUAUUAAUAUAAUUGAGAAAUUUAUUGGUAGGAGAUAUAAAAGUUAGUCUUGAAGUUCUAGAGGCUUAGGACAAGAUGAUAAAUGUUUUUUUAGUUACCACUGAUUAUGAAUUUAUGGCUGGUUGAUGUUAAAUGCGGAAUCACCUGGUUAGCAUAGGGACACUUAUGCUGAUAGUUAUUGUUAUUCUCUCUUACUUCUGUUUGAACCUCAGCAUUUGGAAUGUUGUACUUAGAAUCUUGUAGUCCUAAUGUGAGCUUGUGGUGCAUAACUUAACUACUGCUUAUCCUUUAGUUUGUCAUGGAUCCAUGACAUCUAGUGCGGACUUCAUUUUUAUUUAGUCGUAUUAUAUUUAGUCAUGUUAUUAGUUCUUGUGGUUAUUUUAUUGUAUCAGGAGUACUGUAACUUGUUAUUAGCUGCCUCAAGAGUUCUAUUGCUUGUUUUAGUUAUUUGUGUUAUAUGUAAGGCAAAGAGCAGAUUAGUAAUUUGCAUGUUGAUGUGUUGCACUGAAGUUGAUACUGGUCAUUUAUUUCUACUACUAUAUUAGCCUUAUGGACAUAAUUUGGGUAUGUAUAGGCCUGUUAGAGUUCUGUCAAGAAUCUUAAUUAACAACUAAUAUCAGUCAUUUCCAAGCUUUUACCGAAGCGAGAUUUUAUUGAUGACUGAAAAAAAUUGAGAUUCUAAAUUUUAUUUUUGCUAGCUAUUAAUUGCCUCCAGUGAUGUUUAAAAUCUCAAGUGUACCUGGGUUUUCUAGCCUAAAACCAGUGCCUGGCAACCCUUGGGACAAUUUCUUAGGUUAGCCAGUCUGGACCAUCCUGAACUACGAUGAACCAGCUCGUACCAGCCCCCAAUCUACUCACUUAGUGCCAAGCUUAAAGGUAUUUUCACACCCUCUUUUUUCCUCUCUGGUACUAACUGGUACCCUGUCUUGUAACUGAUAUGCGUACUGGCUGGUGUGCAGUACAGGACGUAUUGAACCUUAGCUUCAAAUUAUUUGAAUCAUCGGCAGAAAGUAUGGUUUGUGUUUUUUAAUCACCUCCUUUGUAAGUUCAAAAAAUUGAGGAGGCAUGAUUUUCAACUUGAGCUGUUUCAGUUACCGGCAUUGGUGGAAAACUGUGCAAGUCAGUGAUCCUAAGAAAUAAGGAGGAUUACAAUACUGGAUUUGUAUAGGAGGAGUCGUAUUUACCUCUAUAUAAUUCAAAAGACAUGAAUAUGUAAUGUUGAAAGCACAUUUAUCCAUAUAGGUUUGGAGAUUGAUGGAAAAUUCCAUUACCGAUAACAUUGGACCAUCUGUUGAAUUUUGGUGGAGGAUUGUUAAUGUAACAGAGGAAACUUGUUAUUAAAUUUCAUGUUGAAGUUGUAGGAAUUGAAUGAAAUUUCAUGAGCAUUCAAACAGAAUAUGAGGAAACCUUUGUGAGAACUGAGAAUUGAUCAAAUGUCUCAAAUGUUUAAAAGGGGAGGGGCGGACCUAAGUUAUGGAAUCAUUGUUUAAAGGAUUGGACUGGUCGGUUGUGGUUGAGGAUAUAGCCCUUAAUAGGAACACUUGCUGAAGGACACAUAAAAUCAAAUCCUCAUUUGGGGUAAAGCUUAUUGUUGGAUGAACUUACUAUCCUUGGUUGAUUUCUUGUUGGAGUCUCUAAAUUAAGAAUUUUCCUUUAUAUCUGGUUUCGGUUGGUCUUUGUGUUUGUUAUGGUUUCUAUCUUGGUUUCAGGCAUUCGUAGCUUUGUUUAUACUUAUCUUUUUGUUGGAUAAUAUUUCUUCGAAAUAAGUUGGUUUUUAACUUAUUAUGUAAAUAAGUCAAAGUAUGUUAAAGGUCAAUACUGAAGGAAGCAGAACCUUAAGCAACUUUUAGAUACCAAAGAACAAUACAAAUGAAUAGGAAACUAUUUUAAGGAGAGGAUAUGAGUCAAAAAUUACCCCUAUCAAUAUUUUUUCUUAAUGAGAAGUACCACUUUGGAUGGAUGGAAUUGAAUGGAACUGGAUAAUUGUAUCUAGAAAGAAUCGCAUAAUGUUAACACCUUGUUCCAGCACAGCUAUCCCUCUAUCCACAAUAAACAUCUGAAAAGAUCUAUACAUGAUGGUCGACUCCAAAUUUUGCACUCCAUCCUUCAGCUACCUACAAUAGACAUCACUCAGCAUGCAUUUAUGAUUUCUGCCAUCCUUUUAUCCAAUAUUAACCUUACUCUAUCAAUCAAAUAGAAGAGGAGUCCUUGCACCUACUUUGUUUCCUCAUGUCUCGAGUUCUUUCCAAAAAACAACUGCCUGCACACCAUAUCCCUGCCAUCCAAUAGUUCACGAUUUUAGUAUCUGGCUGACAUGCAAUUUCCAGAAAUAUGCAUAAGCAAUUAUUCAACUGUCUCUGAAUUUUUUGUAGUAGUGACCUUGCCCAUUAUAAAGUUGACACCAUUCCCUUUUCCCUUUUGCCUCAUAAAUCAUUUUCUCCAAACUGCAGAUGUAUCAUAAUUGCUUUUAACAUUCUGACAUUUACCCCUUCCGCCUCUACAAUCACAUUUCAGCUUUUCCGCAUACUUUGUCAUUGUAGAUAAUCUUUGCAACUAUUUUACUGAAAUGCUUUAUCAUCCUGUAUGAUUCUUAAGUUCUUUUUCCUCUCUCCCUGCUUUAGUUAAACAUCAUGCCAUCUAACCUCAUGAUUGCUCCAAUUUCUUAUUAUUUUUUGAGUUUUCCAGGGAAAGCUGGCUGAGAUCCUCGUUAACAGGUUAUUCUCCCUUGACUUGCAUCCGUGAUAAAAGGGAAACAUUUAUAUCAGCCACAUUUAAACAGUUCUACAUUUCUGUGAGUAAACACAGAAAUAUCAAAUACAAUGUAGAAUUAGUUUAACAUGAUUUACUGCCAACGAAUUGAAUCCGUGGCUGACUCCCUACCAAAAUAUGCUAGCCAAUCUUUAACUUGUUUGGCUUCUCUGUUGACAUGCUCCACCUUGUUGUCCUUAAACUGUAGCAGCAAAUGGUUGAUGUCUUCUUUAACUGGGUAAAUUCUCCAAGACAUCCUCCAUGUCUCUUACAGUGGUGUAAGUUUGAAAAUAAGUUUUUCAUCCAUUCAGAUUUUAAUGAGCUGAGCAGCUGUUGGACCUCACCCACUCAAGGUAUAUCAAUAAGAUCUUGAAUCUUCAUCAGUAGCUAAAGAUCAUUACUUCAGGAUGAUCUGCAUAUUUCUGAUCGACAUUUAAAUCUACAUAAUCCAGGCCUGAAAAAUGGGUUGGAUAUCAAUAAUAUUAAUAUAUGUAUCCAAUUUUAUUUGGCGAAUAUGAAUAUAGAUGCAGAGACUAAUUGGAUGCUAAACUUUGUAUUGAUAUUUGUUCUAAUGGAUGUUAAUAUGAUUGGGUAUUGACAGUACGGAUACAAAUGCAGGCAUAGUUGGAUAGUUAAACUCAAUGUAUAGAAUGUUAUUUGACUUUAUUUUUUGUUAACUCAAAAUAGGUACCUGAGCUUCCUAACUUCUAUUAUUAUUCUAAAACCAAAAUGAUCUGACAUAAGACCAAAAAAGAAGUAACUGCAUCCACUCAAUCACCUUUUUCUUUUGGUGGAUCCUAAUAUUCUGUUGAGUUACACACUUUGGAUUCAAAUACUGACCGUUAAGGAUGCAAUACACUAAUGCAUAGACAUAGCUAUUUGGGAAAAAGAAGUUUAAACAAUAGACAUGUUGAUGUUAUUACUUAUUCCUUUUGGAGUUCAUGAGAACUAUUUGAGGAGACUAAACAAGGAUGCAAACAAUUAUCAUGAGAGAUAGCAACUAGGAUAGGACAUUUGGAUACGGAUCAGAAAUUCAUGUAUCGAUAUUUGUAUCCAUUUUCUUUGACAAAUACAAAUAUAGAUCUGGAUAUUAGUCAGAUGUAAAAUUUGUGUCCAAAUCUGGAUAAAUUUAGAUAUGGAAAUAGAUCUGGAUGGAUAUUAUGUGAUCCAUUUUGCCUUAACAGGAUCACAAUCUCAUUUUUCAUGAUACAUUCUGCACUUCUAUGAAUACUAUUCGUACGAAUUUUGAAAAGAACAAGGGUAAAUCGGAUCUGUUAUUGUCGAGAUUGUGGCCAAAUACCUCUAGACUGUGGUUAGUGUCUAGAAUUGCAAAAGAUUAGUGAGAGUUCUUUUGAUGUAUGUUGUAGCUUUAUUGAGGUGAUGGAUUAUACCUUAUAUUGGCUAGUUUUAUCUUGAAUCCUGGAGUUGAUUUCUCUUGCCAAUGGUACUAUUUUGGCACAUUUUGGACAACUUGUAUGUUCUACUUUGAAAAUGCUGCAAAUUCCGCCCGCCAAUCUAGAAGAAGAGUGAAAGAAUUCCUAUUUCAAUGCCUUUUCUUGCUAUAUAUUGUUUGAGGUCAGUCCUAUGGCAUAAGAAAUUCCAGCAGCCUGGAUCUAGAUGUUGUGGGGACCGGUAAAAGAAUGGAAACCUAGUAAUAUAUGAUUGAUGGUAGUGAGUUGUACUUAAAAAUGCACAUUUUUGUCAUCAAGUUGGAUGUCCAUGAGCCAGUAUUUAUGAAUAAUGACAGAAGUUUGCCAUUAAUGCUACAGGAUUUUGAUAAUCUUGCAUUAUUUGGCAGCUUUAGGUAUGCAGCGUUGUGCCAAAAGACUUGCAUAAAUGUAAUUAAAUCGGAAUAGAUGAUUAUGUUCGUUUUGGGGGUUUGGAGAUUUUUUAAACAAAUUUUGAUUCCUUCACACUCUAGACAAAUUGAGGAUGAAUUUGUUUUCCAAGUUUGUCUGCUUAAGAAAAAAAAAAAUUUAGGUACUAGGAUUUCUGGGGACGUGGAAUUUUAGCUGAUUUUUUCCCUCUCAGAAAGAGGUGAUACCGUGACAGUGUAAUCUGGUCAAUCAGAAUUUUUUUAAUAAUUUAUUUUUUCUUUGAACUGAGUAAUUCACAGUAAAACAACUCCUUUGCUGAAAUCUAUCUCAUCUUAGGAUUAUUGGUGGCUAAAUUAUUGUUAUAAAGUGAUUUUGUGAUGGCAUGCUUCUUGAAGUGGGGUUUGCUAUAAUAAUAGGGAAAAAGCUUAGGUUGCUUUUUUUUCCCUUUAGUUUCUAAUUUUUAAUUUUGUUCUGAUAAUCCGAUGAGACCCAUUAGGCAACUAGUUCACCUUUCAAAGUGGUCUGCUUUUCUGGAUGAUCUUGUUUUGGCAUAUUGCCCAUUUAUUAUCAGCAGCUGAAUUCAUUUUACGUUUAGUUUUAGAGAAAAUAUUGGACCAACAUUUAAUUAACUUGUAGUGCGAUAGGGGCCUGUGCACCUCUACACAUUCAUUUCUACUGUGAAGUUGUUGUCAUGUUCUUGAUUCAUGCAACCAUGUAAUUAUUGUUCCUUCCUAUAAUUCUUAGUCCACAGUAAUCUAUUGCAUUGAAGUAUCAUUAUGUUAGUCUAUAUGUUUGUUGUAGUUUUCUAAAUAUUUUCUGGACUUCUUUUAUCCACUUCAUUAACCCUUUGAUGUACUUACUACCAGGGUGGAACCAUCUCUAUCUGACGAGGACCAGAAGGAGAGAGCUCGAAGGAGUGAAUUUGUACAGGAGCUUGUGCUCUCUACAAUAUUUGAUGACACAUUAUGAAGGAGUUCUCUACCACUAUGGUGGCUAAAGGGGCCGUUGAGAAAACGCCAGGAUCAUCAGCAAGCUGCGUCAUUGUUGUAAUUGUUGCUUAUCAUCUCCUUUGGAUCAGUGGGAGCAUUUAUUUGAUGGUUGUAUAUUUAUAACUGCCUUAAGAGAGGGAGGAGCAUGGAUUGUAUUUAUACAUUUAACAUUAGUAUCAAUAUCUGAAGCGACUAUUUCUACAACAACAAUCUAUCUAUUUGCGUCAUGUCUGAUUCCUCAUCGAAUUACAGGUUAGAUUGAUUGCUGAUAAGGUUCAUUCUGUUGCUAAGACAUGGUGUUACAAGUUGGAACUGCCAAGCAGCCUUGCUCUUUUUGCUAUUUCUAUCAUCAUUGAUCUCCUCGAGCUCGAGUUUGGGUACUAAAUGUUAGAACUUUACAAAUAGUAAAUACAAGAGCUUUAUUCAUGUGAAAUAUUACUGGAUACGUUAGCUCUCUAAUAUAUGAUAGAUCAACUACUAAUGUGGUUUAUAGCAUGUUAAUCAUGGACCUCAACCAUUUAGUUCCUUUCAUGUUAGUGAUAGUUUUUUUAUCUUUAACUGACUCCCUUUAUUGAUAUGGCCUCCCAAUUGUUAAGGAUGUUACUGUUGCCCAUCUCAGUUUUCUAUUGGGUUUAGAACUCCAAGCUGUUUUUUCUUAUACUUCAAAAUGCAUGCUUUAUAUUAUUCAAGAAUGGAUAAUAAGAUAAUUAUAUUAUUCAAAAAUGCUUUAUAGAACUCCAUCUCGGCACUUAAAACCCUUAGCCAAUGUUAUAAAUUCUAGUCUUACAGGGGUGCCCCAACCAUGUAUUUUAUUCUUGUGAAAAAGUGGAUCUGGAUGGUUAGAGGACUCCAAAACCCGUUUAGAGAUAAAAGAGGAAAGAAUGAGAGGGUGGGGUGUGUGGUGGGAAGGAAAGGAAGGAAGGAAGUGAGAAGUAAAAAAAAAAAACGAGGAAGGAAAGAAGAAAAAAGAAAGAAGGGGAGAAAGAAAAUAUAGAAAAAAAAAUAAGAAGGAUAUGAAUGAAAUAAAAACAAAAAACAAAAAUGAAAGAAAAAAUAAAAAAGAAAAAAAUGAAUGAAAGAAAGGAAAAAAGGAGAAUAAAAAGGAAGGAUAUGAAUGAAAUAAAGAAGUAUGGAAAAAAAGAAGAAAAAUAAAAGAAAUGAAAGAAAUGCAAGAAAAAAAAGGAAACAAAUAAAGGAAAGAAAGUAUGGGACAUUGAAUUUAAAACCUACCCUUAACAUUUGAUAGCCUUUAAAUUAAUGCAUGCCGAUAAACAUUGAUUUGAUAACAUAUCAAAUAAAUUCUCUCUCAAAAAAAUAUAUUAGAUCAAGUGUUUACUUUUUUAAUUUAAGAUUAAAUUAAGUUCCUUUCAUUUUAUUUUGGGAUUGAGUUCAAGAUAUCUCAUCUAUCCACAAUAGCUAUCCAUGCAUAAUGUGUGAAUUGUGAUUAUACAUGCUCCCCGUGACGGUGCAUGCAGCAUGUGGCAUGCCAGCACCAAAUUUAGUAACAUCUCGGGCAUGUUUGACUAAUUGGACAUCUCCAAUUUCAUUCCAAACGAAAAAGUGAAUCCUAACUAUUUGUUUUUUUACCUCCUUUUGAAUUUAUAUAUAACUAGCUAGCAUCCAGACAUAGCUGACCCUACUAGCUACUUAGAUCUUUUCCCAGAGACUAAUUAGAGGCGGCAAUCAGAUUUGGCUUGAAUAUUGGUUAGGUCAAAAUUCUUUCAAUUCGAACCCAAUAUUUUUAUUAAAUAGGUCAAAAUUCUAAACAUAAAUCUAUCUAUUUCACUGAACCCAUGUAUGAAACAAGUUAAACGGGUGAGAAGGUAAAAAAUUGCCGCCCGUGCAUAGACUCGAUUUGUCAUUUUCUCCAAACCAUCCACGUGGAUAUAGAGGAAGCCAUGCGAGGGUUGCCAUGGGAGAGAGAAACCUCCGAACAUGCAGCAAUGGAGGCAUUUCACAGGCAGCUUGCUUAAAAAACCGGCACCUAAAGUUCUCAACCGUCAAAAGUGGCAUACAUGCAAUCGAGCAGUGGGAAUAUAUAUAUAAUAAAAGCAGAUUCACCGAAACCAAAUCGAGCAGUUAUUAAUAAAAAUAAAAGCAGAUUCACCGAAACCGAAUCGAGCAGUGGUAAUAAAUGUAGUAGAUUCAGUGAAAGCAUGUUGAGAAGUGAAAGCAGGAUUGAUGGUUAUAUACACUUUCCUGUGGUCGCCUAUUUCUGGUCAGCUAUCACCGCAUUGCGACACCCAAACUGUUCCAAGGCCCAGAAGACAAUAAUGGCGAUGGGGCCCAGAAGACAAUAAUGGCGAUGGGUGAACAACGCCUCCACAUAGCCAUGCUCCCAUGGCUCGCCUUCGGCCACAUGAUUCCCUACCUCCACCUCGCCUUCGCCUUGGCCACCGCCGGCCACCGCGUCUCCUUCCUCUCCAGCCCUCGUAACAACCGCCGCCUUCCUAAAAUACCCCCUCACCUGACGCCGCUCAUCGCCUUCGUCGACCUCCCGCUGCCCCGCGUCGACGGCCUCCCCGAGGAAGCCGAGGCCACCGUCGACGUCCCCGCCGACAAGGGCCCUCUCCUCAAGAUCGCCUACGACUUCCUGCAGAACCCCGUCAAGAAAUUCCUCGCCGACGAGUCCCCGGACGUCAUCCUCCACGACUUCCUCCCCUACUGGGUCCCCGCCGCGGCGCGCGACUUGGGCGUGCUCCCCGUCCUUUUGUUCGCCUUCAACGCUGCCUCCACCGGCUUCACAGGCCCGCCGGAGGUCCUGGCAGAGGAAGGCCGGAGGAGGCGCUGGCCGUCGCCGGAGAGCAUGACGUCGCCGCCCGAAUGGUUCCCCCCCGGCUCCACGGUGGCUUUCCGCCGCCGGGAGGCGGAGCAGUUCUACUCGGAGGUCUUCACCACGAACACCUCGGGGAUUGCAGACGUCGAACGGUUCCGGCUUGCCGUCGAGGGGUGCACCGCCAUCGCCUUACGGACCUGCCCCGAGUACGAGGGGGAGUACCUGGAUGUUCUCCGGAGGAUCUACCGGAAGCCGGUGUUUCCCGUCGGCCUAAUCCCUCUGGCUACGUCUCCAGCGGCCAGCGCCGAUCGGCACGGCAGGUGGGGCCAGAUAUUCGGGUGGCUGGACGCCCAGCCCCCUAAAUCGGUCGUUUUCGUGAGCUUCGGGAGCGAGUACAAGUUGAGCGAGAGCGAAGUCCGCGAACUCGCCUAUGGGCUUGAGCUCUCCAACGUUCGUUUCUUGUGGGCCCUACGUAGGCCCGCUUGGGUCACGGGCGGUGACGAAGAAGCUCUUCCGAAGGGGUUCGCAGCCCGGACCGAGGGCCGCGGCGCGGUAUGCUUCGGUUGGGCUCCUCAGUUGGAGAUCUUGGCCCAUCCUUCUGUAGGGGGGUCUUUGUUUCACUCUGGGUGGGGGUCUAUAAUAGAGACUCUUCGCUAUGGGAAUGCAUUGAUAGUUUUGCCAAACAUAUUUGAUCAGGGCCUUAAUGCCAGAUUGCUGGUGGAGAAGGGCAUUGCAGUCGAGGUGGAGCGAGGGGAUGAUGGCUCGUAUGACAGGGAUGGGGUCGCCAAGGCCUUGCAAAUGGUCAUGCUUUCCAAUGAAGUGGAGGGAUUGAGAAGAAAAGCAAGAGAGAUGGCAGCUGUAUUUGCUGACAAAGAGCUUCAUGAUAGGUAUUUGAAGGAAUUCAUCAACUUCCUCCUUGGGGCUCGGCUCGCAACAAAUCAUUGACUUGAAGCCAAGCACUUACUGUUUUAUGAUCUUAUUGGAUGUAUCCUAUCCGUACUAGAACUAUAUGAAUCAUCGUCUUAGCAAACCUUUUUUUACCUAGGAGGAUGUCGGGAUGCCCAAAGAAUAUCAUAGCUAUAUCAAAUAUGAUAUUACCAAAUAUUCUCUUUUGAAUGGCUAAGUAGGUUGAAUUUUGCAUGCCCAUGCGAUAUCUUGGCCAUCAUCUUUGUUCAUCAAGUAUCGGAUAAUAACAAAAUAUUUCUUGGUUGUAACCACUGGUUCGGAAUAGAAUACUCAUUUACUAUUCUACAGUUGUAGUCGUGUGAUCAUAACAUUCCCCUCCCUUAGGAGCGGAAUGAUUUUGUAACUACCGAACAGAAUACUCUUAUAGUUGUGGCUAUGUGAACUUAUAUAUAUAUAUAUAUAUAUAUAUAUAUAUAUAUAUUAGUUACUAGUAAUAAUAAUAGUAUAAGUAACGUACUACGUUACGUUUACNNNNNNNNNNNNNNNNNNNNAUUUGUUACUGGAAAUAAUAAUGAUAAGUAGCCUAGCUUUUAGUUCCAUUCUUCGCAUGAUAUCGCCCGGGGGUUGGAGGAAGUUUUGAGUGACAGCACCUCAUUGCCGUGGCUGGAGCCGUGUAUGUUUACUCUUUAGGUGCCUUGCAAGGUCAACAGAAUUCUAUAGUUUGUUUGGAUUUUUUUGUUUGCUGUUAAUAGUUAUUGCAACUCUACGUGCAAGAUUUUUAUAGGCCUAAUCUACGGCUGAAGCUGGUAGCUAGACCGAGCCUAAUCAAUAAUUUCUUAUGAUGAGGCAGUAUCUUAGGAGAGAUUUGCAUCAAAUAAAUUAUAUUUUUUGUUCCAACACAACAAAGAAGCUAUGCUACUGAAUUUUUUUUUAUCAAAUACUCUGUUUCAUUUUCAUUUACAUUACUACUUUUCUAGAAAAAUCUUAUGGUACGUGAGGCUAUAUAAGUGUCCGCACGGAUCUUCGCAUACGUUCUCCGUUCAAGUCCUGACGUCUUCGUCCGACUAAGGAUUUAAAUCCAUUCAAAUCUAUUCAUAAACAUCAUGAUUGGCCAGGUCAACCCCAAUGGAAUGUGCUGCAGUAUUCCUUAAUUCACAUAGGUUAUAAGCUAGGUCCGCUUUGAUAUCAUUUAUCACAACAUAGGACCUCACCCAAAAUGUCUAGACAAAAGAUAUUAUUUGGGUUGCUUAAUCCUGUAUAAGUACACAUAAAAUAUUCAGCAAAUAAUUGAUAUGAGACUAAAUACACAUCUGCACAAAUCCUUAAAAGCCAGCACUGUGCCGUAGCCGGUUACAGAAGCAUGUGCGUAUGUGAAAACGACCCGCACAUGCAUGAUGUGGAACAUGUGGGGUGCCUUCGCUGUGCAAGCUCACUUGGUAAGUUAGCGUACAUUUAUUGGAUGUCUGCAUCAAAUAAAGCCGUAAUGUUAGACUUUCUUUCUUUUCUUUCUUUUCUUUCUUCUUUUUUUUUGCUACAACGAGUGAUUUAUACAACACGUGUACGGAUGCACCCAAUAAAGUCGGAAAACAAAAUAUCACGGACUCCCGAGGUAGCUCCCCAUCCCCUGCCCACGAGGUGCUGCUGUCAGCGUGGUUGGCCACGUAGGUAGCCACCUAGUUCGCAGCUCCAUUGGCUUCUCUAAACACAUGCUUAACCUGGACAACUCCUCUAUCCCUCAUCAUCAUCUAGAUAUCACAAAGCAGUGGAUGAUCACCAGCAAUGACCCUCAGACCCCCUGGAUCUAGCCGAUGACCGUAGCUGAGUCACCCUCCAAGAUGACCGAACUAGCUGAUAGCACAUGCUGAGCAUGUUGGAGACCUGCUCAGGCAACCUUAGCUCCGCACCAGAAACCAUGUAGUCAAAUAACUGGCAGCCUCCCGCUGCCACAACCCUAGAGUUUGGGUCCGUAAUAACGAAACCCGCUCUGCCUUUUGUGCCUUUAUCCAGCACCGACCCAUCGAAAUUGACCUUGAGGAAGUUAGGAGGUGGGAGCUCCCAGUGAAGAACACCAUACAGAAGGUUGCCGAGGCAGAAUAGGAACCCCAGAUAUCCCGAGCUGUCAAAGGCCCUUCUAAGAAGGAAGCAUAACUAAUCUCUACCAUCUGCACCCGGGCGGUCUUCGCCACGAGCCUUGGCGACAUACGAUGCUCACCGAAAGUUCGAGCAUUUUUUGUCAGCCAGAUAUGGUAUACUGUGCAGGUCGCUCUAACCGCCUCUUGGCAUGUCAGUGGGUUGCCCGACUGCUGACGGAUGGUCUGUAAGAACUAGUCCCCCUCGGACCCCCUCCUGCAGCAACCCUACAGCACGCUAGGUCACCCUUACCCAUGUGCACUGAAACAGUGCAUGGUCCACCGUCUCAUUGGCCCCGCAAACCCCACACUCUGAGGGAAUCCUUAAUCCUCGUCCGCUGGCUCUCAUCGGAAGCCGAUCCCAGACCACCUUACAUAAGAACAGUGCGACCCUCGGGUGGAGGCCCAUGAGCCAGAUCCAAACACACUCCAGACCUAGCUCAUGCUCCCUCCGAAGCACGCGGGAGAGCUCCCCCACCCUAACACCGGUCCUACUCAAGGUGUUUCGUACUCGAGUAUCAGAACCUGCACACCCUGGUAUCGGAAGAGAUCGGACCCUCUCAGCAAGGUGUGUCCCAAACAGAUGACCCAACCUAGCCUCAUCCCAAGCUGCCCUGCCAAGGUCGAGGAGGUCGUAGACCCGCAGUCCCUUCACUACCUCGAUGUCAACCAUAGUCGGCCAAAGUCUUAAGGAGAGGGCACCCACCCACGGGUCACUAACCACAUCAAUGUGCCGCCCAUCACCUAUCAACCAUCUAGUAUUCUCCACAACUGUUGGCAGAUACCUCGCAAUCACUCGCCACAUGAACGAGCAUCUGCGCCCAUUCCGGAUCACUCCUCCAUACAGGUCCGGCCAUAUCUAGCAGCCACGGUCUAACUCCAGAACCUCUGAGGCUCCAGCAUGAAUCGAACAACAUGUCGGACAAUCAACGCCUCGUGCCUCUCCUGAAGAGAUAAUACACCGAGGCCGCCCUCACUCAAUAGUAGGCAGACACUCUCCUACGCCACUAAGUGCAUCCCAUGACCCCCUCCAUACGACCCUCACAGGAAGCUCCGAAGUAGCCGCUCGUCCUCAUCAGCACUGUCUUCGGAACCACCGUGUUAGGUUUUCUUUGUUAGCCGUAAUGAGAAGCUCUUAAAGUUCGCUUGGGCGAUGACUACGAUGAAAUCGCUAUCAGAAAGCUAGUUCAAAACUAAGGCCCUUCCCCGUCAAAGUCCACUAUCAACUAUUGAAAAAAUAUUAUUUACAAAUUGCAAUAUCAUUAUCUUAUAAUAAUUCAUAAAAAAAUAAAUUUAGAAGUUUGAAAAGAUCUUGUCUAGAUCGAGAAGUGUAAAUAAUAAUAUUCUAAAAACAUGAUUCAUCUCUAGGUGCGGGUCUACAACAAUCUGGAUCAGCCCGAUCCUCUUGACUGAUCCUUUAAGAUUAUCAGAAAUAAAAAAGAUACAAAGUAUAAAGUUGAAAGAUGAAAAAAUUCUCUAGAAAAACUUUUCGAAAGGCAAAGAAGUAGUGAGAAAAAGAGAGAUCGAAUUAUUUUUGAAUUAAUUCCGGAAGAAAAACCGAAGUAAUAUUUUGGAAAUACUAUAUUUUUUUCGGGAACUAACAUUUUUUUUAAGAGUUCUAGUUCUUCUGAAAAACGCAUCUCACAAAAAAAUAUUUUAAAAUAUUUAAAACAACUAAAAUUUAGAAGAUAAGAAAAUUUAAUUUUUUAAAAAUUAAAACUCCAACAUCAAUUUUAUUAAAGGUUUGAUUUGAAUGUUAGGUUCAGCUGCACUAAGUGCCACUGCAGAGAUUCACUUAUAAUGUUGCAACAAAAUUACGUUAUCCUAGGCUUUUAAAAAGUAAUUAUAUUAUUUCGCCUAUGCUAAACCUUUUCUGAGUGUUUCAAUGUUUUAAGUCAUAAAACACGUAGGGUCCUUGGUUAUCCAUGAAAUGAGUGCACAAGUGAUUGCGUAACACACAAAUCUCAUGUCUAGAUUUCCUAUUGCACAUUUCAACUGGCAACCCAAAUCUUAUUUGGCAUAAUAUAUACGCGAGAAAAUAGACACGGAGAUAGUAGCCCUUUUUCUGCAUGAUUUCCGUAUUACUCGGUAAUUUUUUAGCUAAACAUGAAUUACUAAAAAAAAAGGAAGCGAUGCAUACGAAGGACAACUAAUGACACAUUAUGUAGUGGUUUAAUAUCUCAUGUACUUCAAGAUGAGAUGUGUGGUGAACCUCCUCCUUAAUCAUCGUAUUUUAAUGAAGGCAAAGCCUAUCAAUCCCAGAUAACAAGCAAUAAUUCGCACAAAAUCAUAAUCAUUUAUUGAUUCAAAAAUGUGACUGCUGAAGUGCCAUUAUCUUUUUUUUUUAUAUCACCACAUCAUUACAUUAGCGAGAAGCAAAGCAAUGCAAAUAUCACCACUUAUUUCGUUUUAUCUCAUCGACUGGUUUCAAGGACAUUUUCCAUGACAUAAAAAGAGAAUAUGCAUGGGAAUGAUGCUGAUCAGGAUGAAUGAUAUUUCUAAAAGUUAACCAAAAAGAUAUUCUCCUGACAAUGAUAAGGGGAUUCCCACUAUAUCCAUUUCAAAAGAUUACUUAGAGAUCUGAUGGCAUAUUUUCUUACAUGGUUGGUGUCAUAUCACAAACUUUUUUUUUUUGGUGAAACAUGGGGAUGAUGAUGCUGAUAACUCUUUCUAAAAGCAAACCAAAAAAAGAUUAUUCUCCUGACAAUGACCAGGAGAUUCGCAAUAUCUACUUCCUCGAAAAAGCUCUCACUCACUUGUUGAUAAAGCCCGAAGAACCCCAGUGAAAGCCAAGUAAAGGCGCUGGAAAAAACGAAAAAGCUCGAAAAGUCUCGACCAAAGCUCUCCACUUGGUGCAGUACCCGCGAACAAACGUCUUUCCUCCCCCUUUCCUCUCUUUUUACCUCGUCCCCCGAAAUUAGGGUUAGGGUUUCGGAUUCCCCACCCUCCUCUCCCUCCGCCGACGACUCCAACGAAUUUAAUUCGAUCGAGAUGGGGUCCCUUUGCUCUCGUCAAUCACCGCUCUCCCCCGUCCUUCGCCCCCUCUUCCUCCCUUCUUCCUCGCACCUUCGCCAGUACGAGUAUUCCCCGCGCACCUACCCCGCCGAUCCCUCCUUUUUCAAAGAUUUUGUUGGAAUUUGGUAUAUUGGUCGGUAUUUCGUACAUUCGAUCGAAGCUCGCAGUGAGAGAAUCUCUGGUUUGGAUGGUUCCUCGUCCCGACCGAUUCCUUCGAUAAAAGAAAGUAUUUUAUUUAUUGGCAUUUGUUUUAAAAAAAGGAUCGGAAUCGUGGCUUUAUUAGGGGCUCCGACGAGACUUUUAUCCCCCGGUCGUGCUGCUGACGAUUCGAGGAAGCUUCGUAGCUGCUUCGCAGCAAGCUAUUGUCUUGUGAUUCCAUAUAUAGUAAUGAUUCGGACAUUUAAUUGAACCACAACGGUUGAGAGUGUCGGUUUUCGGGUUAGAAAGGGCUUUUGGGAGCUUGUGGAGCUGCCUUGCUCCCUUGAUUUCCUCGUGAUGGAUCGGAAGAGGGCCUAUCCGGAGGAAGGGGAGGACGACGGAGGAUCUCUUGUUAAGGAUACAAAGCGACGGCGAACCUUUCUUAAGUGAGUGAAUAGUUUGGGAGUUCUCUUAUCUUGUUUCUUUAUUACUAAGUGAUUGAUACUUGUUGUCUUAUGGGUUUUUUUUUUUUUGGCAGUUCAAUGAGAGAAGUAAUGGGGGCGAGUUAUAUACAGCGGCAUUUGCCAAAGUUGGAGCCUUUUCUUCGCAAAGUGGUAAGAUAAGUCCUGCUGUCAUUUUUGCAAUGCUUAGGAAUUCUACAGGAUCGGAAUCCUUUUCGAAAGUUCUUUUUAAGUAAGACUUUAUUAGGCUGUUAGCUGACUUCAGUUUGUGCGCAGAAUCAUCAUUGUAUUUAAUCCUUGUGUUGUUGUUCAAUUUCGUGUAGCUUCGUUUUGCCAUGUUGGCCCUUCUAGGUUAUCAGUGGAACCUCCCAGACCAUAUAAAUGUGGGCUACCUUGGCUGAUCCUUUCUACUUUGAGAAUGUUUGUUUUAAAACCCCCCACUUUUUUACCUCCCAGUAGCAAAGGUUGAUUCCUGCUUAAAGUAUUCAUGUUAUGUUCUAAUAUACUCCUCUGGUGACACCAUCUGUAUGAUGUAUUUAACAUCCAUAUGAGUUUGUGUCUCAUGGAUUCUUGCGAUUUCUGUACGGAUUUUUGAGGAUUUUUGAGGUGAUGCAAAUCCUUGGGAGCUUCCAAAGAGAGCUUGCCUUGCUUCUUUCAGGUUUUUGGGAACCAACAGUCCGCCCCACACCCUCCAGGGUUUCUUUCAUUUUGGUGUGGCACCAUAUUUAUCUUCCUUAUAUUUUUUUCAAAGUUAUUCCAUUUGACUUUCACUGUGAAACGUACCCAUUUGUAACAUGCUUUAGUUUUGGUUUCUUACAUGAGUAGAAGUGAUACUUGCAGCAUUUUAGAAUAAUUGAAACUAAAUACAGGUUUCUUUCACUUUUUCUAUUAUAACACAUAUGUAAUCGCAUUAAAGUUUGUUGUGAAAAAUGUAAAUAUUAAAUUAAUUACAAAUCUGGUAACUCUUAAAACAAGUGAAAAAUCAUGAAUUAUUAGCAUAUUGUCCAUGAUCUAUUCUCUCUCUCUCUCUCUCUCUCUCUCUCUCUCUNNNNNNNNNNNNNNNNNNNNCUCUCUCUCUCUCUCUCUCUCUCUCUCUCUCUCUCUCUCUCUUGUUGCCUAAUUUCUUUGAAAUCUUUCUUAAAACCUGUAUAUGUGGUUUGUUUUUCAAUUUCAAAUUUGUAACUUCCCUAAGAUUGUCUGAAAUUUCUACCGGAAUAUGUCUUCUUGCCAUUUUUUAAUUUAAAUUAUCAGAAGUAGUGAGGGGACCUACAUAUCAACCUUGUCGCUAGUAGUUCGUUACUUGCUUAUGUACUAUAAGCAAGUGUCCAUAACAUUGUUGAUUCAGGACUAAGAUUCAAAAAUCAGGCCUUGAUUGUGUUUCAGCUGGCCAUAUGAGCUUUGUUUUCUAUGAAUUUGCAUGAUUUUUUAUCCAGUUUAGGCCAAAAAUAACAAAUAGUUUAAACAAUAAAACAAGCAGGAAAAAAUAAGAGAAGUAUAAAGUUUUAAGAUAUGCUUUAUUGUUCAAACUGGUAUAAAUACGUCCAGUGGUUUAUGAGCUGAAACUAUGCACUAGUCAUUAGAAAAUGAAAAAAAUAGUUAUAUGCUCAUGCAUUACAUCAUAUUAGACUAUAUUAUAUAUAUUCUCUUGGUUGAGGACAAUCAUAUAUGAGACAUCCUAAACAUCAAUAUAAGAUUUGAGCACAGGCCUUGCAAUCUCAAGCUAAAAUCUUGCAUUUUCAUUUCUGAUAGGCUUGAUCUACUUCGCAACUUUCAGCUCAAACCUUGCUAAUUCUUUACCAUCUGGCUUUGUGUGAGGAUUAUAUUAUUUGGUUGGUCUCUAAUGCCUUCUGAACCAACAAUGGUGGUGUUAUGUAGAAUAGAGAUAAAAGAAAACCACCAACUUUCUUAGAAUGGAAAUAUCAAGGCAUUUGUUUAUUAUUAUUGUUGUAACAGUUCUCCAGGUAUUACUGCAAGUUUUUUUUUUGAUGUUGCCAAUCAUCUUUUGUUAGAGACUUCCAAGAGAUAUUAGUAUAUUAAAACUUAACUGACUGCCUCAAGCAACAAUGCUAAAGAAUAUAGCAAUCUUAAGGAUAUGCAGAAUCUAAGGGAAACCUUAUAUAUUAUAUUCUUAAGUGGUAAAUGAAGGCUAAGAACUGUAUUUAAUCCUGACAUACGGCUGCUUAGAACUCAAAGUAGUUGAGCAGAUCACACAACACACGCAAACUAAAAAAUGAAAAAAGAACUAAAAAGGAGUUUUGAGCACCGAACUAUGAUUAUGGGAGUAAACAUAGUUAAGCAGUAUAAUUAGCAUUUAUCUUCAUGAUAAUUUUGCGAGUUGAUAUUGUUAGUAUUUAUUAUUACUUAAAGCUAAUCCUUUGAGCUUCUGGCAUAUUGAAUUCUUUUUGUGGAAAAUCAGGUGCAAGAAGAGGUGCAAAAUGCUCUUUACCGAUAUGUACUCUUAGCUCCAAGGUAAAUUUUGAAAAUCCUUUUUGGGGUUUGAGGCUCGAGCACUGUAAACCCUUUCCCAGUUGCCCAAUUUUAUAUUUUGCGGUUAAAUCCAUCAGAUGGAUUCGUAUUGUUCAUGACAUCUGAUGCUUUGAAUCCAUGUGUGAAUAAUUAUGAUGUCAUGAAUAUGAUGCAUAAAGGUAAAUCCAUAUGUGAAUAAUUAUGUAUCCAUAAAACAUUUUUGUUUGGAAAAUAUUAGUUCUUUACUCUUUGUUUCCUUAUAUGAAAGGAAAAUUACUACAAACCCCACCCAUAUAGACAUAAAGAGGUAAAACUAGUUCGCCAGAGUAUUUGAAUAAUUGUUUUUAUAUGAAAGCUACUAUCUGACGCUGUAAACCUAUUAUUUUGAUGCUCGCCAUUUCCCAUGUCAUGCACGUGCAUGCAUAUUAACAUAAUUGUUGGUUAUACAUAUUGUGGUGCAGCAAAAAAUUGCUUGUUUGACAAAUUUUUAGGACUAAAUGCUUUUUAAGCCAUUUGGAUGUUCUAAUUUGUGUAUUUGUGUUGUGCGUGGUGUAGACUGCCCCUAAACCAGAUCCCACCCACUGCUAGCAGGCAAUAUCGGCUGCAUUUCCAAACUAGUGUGCCUGAAACACUGUUCACAGGAAGCAGAAUAGAAGCUGAAGGCAGAAAGCCUGUUGAAAUUGUCAUCAUCGAUUCUGAAUCAAAUGAGAUUAUCACAUCUGGCCCACUAUCUGCAAUCAAGAUUGACAUUCUUGUUCUUGAUGGUGAUUUUGGUGCUGAUGGAAAAGUGGAAUGGACCGAAAAGGAGUUUGGUGACAGUAUAGUACGUGAAAGGGAGGGUAAAAGACCAUUAUUGACAGGGGACCUGGUAAUUACUCUGAGCAGUGGAGUUGGUCAUCUUGGUGAUGUCACUUUCACUGACAACUCCAGUUGGAUAAGAAGCCGAAGGUUCAGGCUUGGUGCGAGGGUUUCUCAAAGCAGAUGCACUGAAAAAGCAAGAGUUCAAGAAGCAAUAAGUAUAGCUUUUUUGGUGAAGGAUCACCGUGGAGAAUGUAAGUCUUCUCCUGUCUAAGCUCAACUGUUUGAAAUUUUAUUUAGGAAAGUGAUUGAAGCUAAAUUUAUUUGAGUGACAAUGAGAGCAGACAAGAGCUUAUGUCGGCAUUAUAUGCCAACAAGCAACAUAAAUACCACGUGCCAUAAAAAUUCACCAUUGCAAAUUAUAUACUGGAGUAACACUGCUAUUAUAUGUACAUGCUGCAUCUGCAGUUCAGUUGAUAAGAUAGCUUUUGGACUGAUCGCAGAUAAGCUCUAAUAAAGCUUGAGCUUUUACAGAGGGUGUGCCAACGCUUGGUACGCCGAACCGGCUCUUGUACUGGGCGUACCAAUAUAGUAAUAGGGUGGCACCGGUAUGAAGGCCGGCUCCGAGACGGCAUACUAGAAUUCUUUGCUUGUUAUUCUAAUUGACUUUUGCUGCAGCUAUUUCUUAAGAAUAUAUUCUUAGCUGUACCAAAAUUUAUUCUUAUGAAUGAAGUAUCAGAAUAUUGAAUCUGGAAUACAUAUUAUAUAGAAUCUUUUGUGUCAUCAUUUUUUCUUAGUUUUAGCUGUCUAAACCUCAUCUGUUGAUUUUACAUCUGCAGAAUGCUUUGCGAUUUGAUUGUUUGCAGUUAUGCAUAUGAAUUAUAUUAUUUGGACCUUGUUGUUAUUUCCUUUUCUUGCCAUUCAUAAUCAGCUAUGGCAUGCCAAACACCUAAUUGCAUAUCUAGGUAUCAGGACUUGACAUUUGUCGUCAUUAGGUUGAUCAAAGAGGAUGGGAACUGAGAAAAUUUAAGUGAAACAUUUAUGUGGAUAUUAUCUGCCUAAUAUAUAUACCUUCUAGUAUAAUAUAUUUGUGCAACUGCUUGGUAUUGACUAUUGAGUCAUCUUCCCAAUAAUGUCAUGGUAUGCGCAUGCAUUAGAUUUUUGAAGGUUAUGUAUAGCUUUUUGUAUCGAAUAUGGAACUGCCGCUGCUAUUACCAUCUUGUCAUGCUCCGAUUUAUCAAAAAUUUAAAAGUUCCUUCUCUAUAAGUGCCAUAUGUGUAUGAUUGGGGUAAUAUUUUUUCUUUUUUAGCCUGAAAGUCCUUUCCUGUGAUCUGCUUAAAGACACAGAUAACCUUGAAACCAAUUUUAGAAAAUUAUUUAAUUGGAUGUAAAAUUAACGAUUGUUUAAGAUAGGUAUUCAUAUAAAACAUUUUGUUGGCAUGGCCCAGUUCUGGCAUAUCUUACAUAAAUUCGUGUUACUCUUCACUGUAUGCCAGUAGCAUAUGCUUUUAAGAGUUCUCUUUUGUCCUAAAAGAAAACUAAUUACAUUCAAAACUAAUUCUGUUCUAACUUUAUUCUAAUUUCAGUGUAUAAAAAGCAUCAUCCUCCUUUUUUGGGGGAUGAUGUGUGGCGUCUGGAAAAGAUAGGUAAAGAUGGUGUUUUCCAUAAAAAGCUUGCUGACAAUGGGAUCAACACUGUCCAAGACUUCUUAAGGAACUUGGUUAUGGAUCAAGACAGACUACGCAGUGUAAGAUAGCCAUAUUAAGUAGUUCUUUUGAGAGAUAUCCAUGCACAAAUUUAUAGUGCUAACGUUCUUUGCUUCCUUCCUGUAGUUCCUUGGUAGUGGGAUGUCAAACAAGAUGUGGGAUGCAACAAUUGAACAUGCUUGGGAUUGCGUUCUAGAUGACAAGAUUUACUCCUACUGCGAUGGACAGGGAAUCAUGCUUCUGUUCAACUCUGUAUAUCGGCCUGUAGGGGCAAUGCUUCACCAUAUUUUUUACCAGUUAGAUGAACUUCCUCCAACUCAUAAGGUAGAUUAUCAUGAUCCAGAAAAUUUAUGUUUUUGUCAAGCUAUUUACAUAAAUCUGCUAACAAUUUUUUUAACCAUUGUUGUCUGACCUUUUACUUUACGCAGCAUCUGUUUACUCCCCCUUAAUUCACUUAUGACAAACUUCCUUAAACCGGUGCUUGUGCCUUUUGGUCUUGUAUAUUGAAUUUACAUUACUAAUAUAUUCAGUUUUUCAUUUUGCAAUAUGGCUAUACUGCACUACUUAGUCCCGCAGUAUACGUUGGUUGGGGCCAACCUAUGCUGAUUAAUCGGUUUAAAGAAAUUCUCACAAAGAGACUCGACUGGCAAAACUUGAUCCUGCAUGUUUUAUGCAGCGGUCCUCAGCUUAUAGACCAAGUGAUGCAUCCAGGGAAACUUGAAAUGGCACUGUGCAGUGGAUACUAGUUCUUUCUCCAGCUUGUUGUGCCUUCUAUAAAUUUCUGCAUUCAUUUAAAAAUAAAUUUUCUUAUUUGUAUGCAGGCAGUGGUGAACAAAUUAAAACAAGAUGCGUAUAGAUUCCCAAACCAUAUACUCGAGUAUCGUGAACAACUGCUUGACAAUCGACCCAGACUGUUACCUACCGUUCCAGCGUCAAGCAUGUUGGACCCACAGAUUCGCAACCUCCCUGCCACAAAUCAAGGUAAGUGGAAUCAGAGCGCUUGAUGAGCCCGUCUCGUCCUUCACUCUUAGGCCUCCUUCAUAUUGUGGCCAUCCACUGAUGUCGUGACUUUUGACAGAUGAACCUUCUGAUCAAGUGUGCCUUCUGCAACGCGCUAGCUCACCAGGAAAUGAAUUCUUUGAAGAGCUAGCCCCAGGGAGAGACAUGUUUACUUCUGGGCAGUUCGCUCAUAUGGUUCAACGGCUGGAUUCCUUCCCACCAAAUAGUUUCGGCAUGAGGGAUUUCUGCGAUAUGCCGUGUGGCAAUUUCCAGAUAAGUGGGUCAGCCGGGCCUGCCGUAACAAGCGAGCACAUGAUGGGAUAUGCUCAAGAGGUUGGUACGUUGAGCUCUUCUCCCCGUCCCUUGCUUUGGGAUCAUAGUAAUUCCUUAAUUCAGACAUCAAUUGGCGAAACAAGUAGAAGCUGUGCACCUCGCAUGUCUGCUGUUGGUGCUCCCAUUACAUCAAGCAGAUGGAUCAAGCUAAUAGCAGCUCUGAAAUGGUUAGCAAUUUCGAGGCGCAGUGCUGCCAGAAGGGCACAGUCUCUGGAUAUCGAUUACCCGGCAGCAACUAUAGGUACAUGGAUUGAUGCACGCGGAAGAGGCUGGUGAGGUGGAGGGCGUCAUGGCAAGUUCAUGCAAAACACUUUCACGUUCGUCUUGAGAGCUUUGAACCAUGCUUGAGAUGGAGCCGAAACAGAGGAACUCAGUCUCUCUCCUGCAGAGGAACCUUUCUUAGAACUGUUUGUCAUGUGGCAGUAAAUUAAUUUAUUUAACUUGUUCAGUUUCUGUAUAUUGGAUAACCGUAGUGUAGGGGAGAAGUAGUUUUAGCUUGCGACUGUUCUUGGAUCUGCACAUAAGUUGUGUGUGUCAUUCAGUAUUUAUAUGUUCAACUGCUUUUAUUUGUCAGCACACUCUUGUUGGAGCUCUUUUCGCCUUUUUCCCGAGUUGUUCCUGCCUUCCUUGGACUCCACUUUGUUCUAUGCUUUGUCGGACUGCAAAUCAUAUGUAAAUAGGGAACGAACUGUGUCGUUUCAAGGGUCACCAUAGUUCUACGCCACCCCCCCCCCCCCUCCCACCGGGGUAGAGAGUCAUCAUGACUAGCGAAGAGAAUAGGAGGAAAUGGAGAAAUUUCUACGCCACAUUCCGUGAUGCUCUUCAUCGCUGUCCGUCCAUCUUACCAGCUCGCAUUAUUUCAGUAGGUGGCAACUCUUUGGGUUACUCGCAAGGCGUGAACCAACAUGACGUGCUAAAAAAGCACGGGAAUCCCUCCCGCAUAACGCCAACUCUCUCGGCCUCGGCUGCAAGGGAUGUCGCUCAUGGAUUCCUCUCUUCUUCCCACUUUCCAAGCUAAUUCGGUUCCCAUCGAGCCCUAUAUUUCUGGUGCUGGCUCAUUGCAAGCCGCAUCCAAGAGUGCUUAUCCACCAUGGCCAUGACGCUUGCUGAUUUGUGCCACUGCCACAGAAUCCCCCGGAGCUCCGACGUCAGCAUCGGGCUGGCCUUGUUCCUCGUGGUUCUAUCCGUGGUUUGUGGCCUCUUCACCUUUGUCUUAUGCCUCGCUGCCGAGGGCUCUAGGACUGAGGUAACAAUUAAAAUAUCCCAUGUGAUGCACAGAUUCUCCCCGGUUAAUUAUGAUCAUGAUAGCCGUAUUUAAAUCUGGUUAUUAACUUUCCUCUGAAUGCAUAAAGUCUGUAUCACCCUGUGACUCAUCAUGAAUACAUUGUCAGGCCACCCGGUAUAUCCUGAGCAACUGGGGUCAUGGCAGCGACGCAUCUGAGUGCAUCUACGACGCCAGUGGUCUCCGACCACUGGCGUUUGCUGUGGGUGCAUUCCUGUUGCUUGUGGUGGCCAUGUUCGCAGAACUUGCCUACAUGUUGGUUGUCAUCACAAGUCCUCAACCGCCGACAUUGGUAAUACCCUCGCCAGCUCCAUCAACGGUAAUGCUAACCUCGACAUCACGCAUAAGAACUCUUGCACGGCAGGCCCGUUUCCUUUUUCUCGCAACUUGGUAAGCAGAACCUUCAACCAGUGCAUCAGAAUUCAAAAUGCACCUAUCAUCAAUACACUGCCAUAGCAUCCAACCAUCGAAGCCUGCAUGCAGAUGUGGUUUGAGUGCGUUAAACAGGGCAUUGAAACCUCGACCCUUUGUAUUGUACUUGCAGGAUCAGUUUUGCCAUUGCUGAGGUGCUUCUGAUGUUUGGUAUGGCCGUGGAAUCAAGUCAUAUAUGCCAAUGGACAAAGCCAAGGUCCAGCUGCCAUGUAGUUCGACCAGGGUUAUUUGCAGCAGCAGGAGUUCUUGGAUUUCUAACGGUCCUCCUUGGAAUCGCCCUGUAUCGGACACAAACAUGGCACCAAUAUGCGCACAGGCGCCCAACACCAAGCGCACCGCCAGCACAGUGAGGGCAAAUGAAAGCCAGCCCCCACAAGAGACUCCGUCACCCCGACAAGACCUCAACAUCAGCAUCACUUGAAAUGGAUUUUGGGUAAUUACACAACCAUGUGCCCUGCAAUCGUUUCGCUGUAAUUGGAUUCAGUAUAAUCCAUUAUUUCACUACUUCAUAAGCUUGGAGCCCUCAAAACCAAAAGCCUGAGGCUGCCGAGCGCAUAGACAACAGGAUUUUCCUGCAAAAUAACACUACUAUGCCAUGAGUAUUCCAUACAAAUUUCCGAGUGGUUAGCGAUCAAACUAUCCCAAUCUGAGAGUGCACUGGAGUUAGUUCACCACCAAACAAUAAAGUGGCAACUUACAGAAAGCAUCAAACAGCUUAUUCAGCUCACUUUUUACAUGUUACCGGCAAACCACCCCAAGUAACCGAAUACUUGCAUUGCUUGGAGAGAGCAUAAAAAUAUUUCACCAUUCUUUUCGCCUGGACACUGUCGACUGGCUUAGUCGUUUUCCUUCCAUGGCGUCCUUCUUUCUCCUGCACUCAACACAGAGGUAAGGGCCCUCAGAUGAUCUUGACGUGGGUGAAAAGUGUGUGCCCGCAGUGGCAGAUAAACCCUCAUUUGGUGUUUGAUCCAUUUGGCAUAUUGCACACCGGAAAGGUGAUGAAUUCGCCUUCAAUGGGAAAUUUUUCCCCAAUCUACAUGAAAGCAGGUUUAGAGUGAGCAUCUACUCUAACGCACAAAUUGACAAUCAUAUUAUGCUGAACAUAAAUGGAAACCAUGCUAGGGUCAAGUGAAACCAGAUCCCCUGGUUGACUGGACACUCAACAACACAAAUAAUAAUCUUAAAGUCUACAAAGAGGCUUUUGUCACAGAAAAAAUCUACUUGUAAAGUCAAAUAUACUGCAACGAUGACUAACACACAGUAAAUUUUCAUCAAAUCAACCACAUUCAUUCGAGUUACGAUACAAAAUAGUUAUACGUUAAUCAGUUAAACUAGGUUGAUAAAUUAACUUUCCAACCAGAGCUAGCAGUUGUUGGCAUCUUCCAUAUUACAUCACAAAGAAUUUCUUGGCCCUCUUUGUAUGCACCGAGAUUCCUCUUUCAAGCUUUCAAUAAAUUGAGUUGACCCAUUUACAUGAUCACAUUUGCAAGUUCAUUAUACAAUAGCACCAUCAAAAACUCAGAGAGAAGAAUAGGACCUAGAGCCACCAAAGUCCAACUUGAUAUCCUUCAAUGGUUCAACCUUUAGCAUGAAUGAUGCAUAGAAAGAGAAAUGAGCAAGACAUCUCUGCCAGAUGGGCAUCUCAUUUGUUAUACACAUAUACAUGGAUCUUCCCAAUGAUUUUGUUGAAAUAUGGAUACAGAUUACCAUAUUACAAGUUUUGGGGAAUGAGAUGUGUGACAUCAAAAUUUAAAGGAUGACUAUAAAAUGAUAGAUGACCUUAUUGACAAGAUUAAGAGUAAUAAAAAUGUGUAGCUAUGGUGCUGUCCUGAAAGCAACAGUAGGCAGGAUCAAAGAUUUGAGAGAAUAUACCUCAGAAAAAUUAGAGCCUUCUGGUCAAGAUCAUAAAAUAAACUUCAAUUGCAGCUCUCUGGGAAUCUAGGAUACUUCAGAAAUUUAGCAGUGGAAAGAAGUGCUGGUAAUAUGGUUCAUACAGUGCUUUCACACAAAACAAUUUAGUGUUUCCACACAAAACAGGUACUUUCCAGAAUCUAAUGUUUUCCACAUAGAAGAGGUGCUUUCCAGACAAAAGAGGUGCUAGUAAUAUGAUUCAUGUAGUCCUUUUCCACACAGAAAAGGAAAGUUUGUACCUUUAAAAAUUUAAGACACAUGCCAAAGAAUUAUCGGAUGUAAGGAGGGGGAAUUACCAAAAAGACUUGCAACUUCAGGCAAACAGUUUGGGCAGUUGGCUCACGAAUAGGCGAUGUCAUUGUUGUGAAAUCGCGAACAUCAUCAUCAAUUCAUAGAUCAGGCUUCUCUAGUUCUCUCAAAUGUUGUCGCGUAAAAACCAACUAGUUUUAAUGUUCGAAUAUUCAAGGCAUAAGGCUACAAGUUCUGUGAGACACAACUAUGUCUUGAUAAAGAGCGCCAUUAGAAACCCACUUUUGCAAUAAAUUACGAGCAACAAAUAAGAAGCAUUGUGAUCGUAACUUAUCCAUCUCGAGACAUGACCUUCUCUAAUGCAAAAUCAAAUUUUUGAAAAAAGGUCGCCUGCCUACCCAACCAAAACCCCCUUCUGGACAAAUCAGAAAGCUUUCCAACUUAGCCUUCUAAGUGCCAAGUCAAAAGACAACCCUGAUCUAUCUAGAUCUUUUUAGCUCUAACAGAAUCCUUCUCCUCCAUGCCAAUAUCACAAGUUUCAUAACAGGUUGGACCUCAUCCAACUACUAAUAUGAUUUAGAUUGCCACCAUCUUAUAGAAAUAUUAUGAAAUGAACAGCCCUCUGCAUCACUAUAAACAGACACGUAAUUCAUUGAAUCUUGUACUUCCAGAACGAUGGUAAAGAACUUGGUAACAAGUAUUGUUACAAAAACAAAUAAAGAAAUCAUGCAAAUAUAGGACCAUUGAUAAGGGUGUCCAAAACUUCACUAUUGAGCGUGUUAAUGUAUUGGUCACCCAUUUUCACCUGAUAUACUUCAGGGACUUGAGCCAGCCUCAUUUCCAAAUGUAUAAAGUAGCUGCUUAUCUAUUUUGUCCCUAAAAAGGAUUUAUUGUUUCAAUUUGAGGUAGUAACCAGAUCAUGAAGGUGGUUACAAGCAUAAAAAAGGCCUUAUUGGCCAACCUACAAGUCAAUGUAUUGUUAGAUAGUUAUCUAUAUGACCAAUUUCGCCAAAAUAUACCACGAUUGCUACAAAAUAUAUAUGGAACUACAUCCAUGUCAUGACAUCUUUAAUUCAUACAUGAUAGUUUAACUUUAAGCAUAAAAUUUAAACUUUACCCAGCUCAGAAAGUAAUUCAGAUGAUUUAUGUGCAUUUAAACAGCACUGGCUUCACCUAAGAUUUCAUAUCCAUCACAUCCAUGUUUCCUCCCAAGAAACAAAACCUUAAAUAGGCUACAAGAAAUAAUAUCCUUCAAACCUUCACUCAAGGGGAUGCAAGAAAUGACAAUGUAAUUGACUAUUUCUAUUUCCAACUUUGCAGCAAAUAUGGAACUAAAAAAAUAGAAAGGUCUUAUUUCACUACAUCUCAAAAAUGAUAGAAAGUAUUAAAUCAAUCCAUGUUUAUGAUUUUGUAGCACUAUUUGAUGGUAUCCACAUAAACAAAUCUUCCAACCAGAUGCUUUCUUUGUCCAUGUUUCUAAGAUGAGGUCCUUGCUAAAUGGCUCCUAAAAUCAUAUGAUGCAAUUUCCCUCCUCUCCUCUCCUUUUGCAUGAUGUCGAAUUGAUUUUGGGUGGGAGGUCCCCAACUCCAACUUUGAUUCUAUCCACCUACUACUGCUUUGCUCUCUUCCUCCCAUAUUUGAUCGAUACAUCAUAUCCAAGUCCUUGUAGAACAACAAAAACUAGAAACCAUCUAGAGUAUAUCCACAUCCACUAGCAAAACUAUAGUAUUAACUUUUAGAGAAUUACCACACUAGUGCGUUUGAACACCUAAAAAUUUUGGUGACAGUGUUUAUGCCAUUUGAUUAAUAGGAUUUAGAAAUAGUGCACAAACGUUUCAACCCUUCGUUGUGCAUGUUUGGGAGUGUGUUUGCACUCGUCAAAAGUGAUUCUGAGUCCAAAAGCAUAAUUUUGAGUGUUUGGCUACAACCCAAAAGUAAUUCUUAGCCAUGUUAAAAAUCCUCCAAAAUGUAGUUUACGUAAAGCUGACCUUCUCUCGUUUCCCAUGGACAAGGGCCUGCAAGCUUAAUAUCGCAUUUGCGGGAAGUCAUUUAUUUUAAGAAAAUAGCACAUUGUCUCUCGAUGCCCUCGCAUCUCCGCUCCUUCCCAACUCCCCAACAUAUCAGAACAUCUUUUCUUCAGAUUAAUUUCCUCCCAAAAGGAUCAACUCCUCAUCGGAGAUCAUUCCCUCUAUACCGGCAAUGGCGAUGCAGCAGUGGAUCUUAGCCAAUUCCAAAGGCCAUCUCCCUCUGUUUUCCCCCCUCUUAUAGCAAUAAUUUCUCCUCUCAGUCUUCCGGGACCUAGAGCUCCCAGCACAAAACCCUCUGCCCGUCCUCAACGAUCCACGUCCGUCUCCUUUCCCUCGUUUCCAUGAAUUUCAAUCCAUUCCGAGUACCUAGGGUUUGGUUUCAUCUUUCUUUCAUUCGAUCAAGCUCCAAAGCCUCAUCGUUCUUUAUUGGUUUGCUCCGAUCUCAAUUAUUUACCUGUUUGUGUUCCUUUUUUUAUUCGAAAUUUGGGUUUAGAAAGGCAUUGUUUUCAUUCUUGGAGAACAUUGUUAGAUGUUGAGGUUUCUUGUGCAGCUGAUUUCAUACUAGAUUUCUCAUGGAUCUGAAGAAUGCAACUUUAUGUAGUUUGAAGAACAAUAGAAUAAUAAGGAUAGUUUCCUCCCUGUUUAUUUACAAGUAUCAUGAAUGUUCAUGCAUCUCGAUUGUAAGUAUCAGGCAUCAUUAAUGUUCGGGCAUCUUGAUUGUAAGUACUGGGUUGGUCUAUCAGUCCUCCAUAUAAAGAACAACAGAUGCUGCUGGAUGAUUUCACAAUCAAGGUUGCUGAAUUCUACCUACCACUGAGAAUCAAGGCUUCUCCUCCUCUUCUUCAAUGUUCUUGGUUGCUGAAUCAAGGUUGCUGUUUUAUUUUUGUCAGCCCCUUUUCUCCUCUCUUGCUUUUAUUUGGUGAAGAGGAGCUUGCUGUCAGACUGCUGAAGCAUCUUGCUUCAAACUCUAAAUUCUAUCAGCCUCUUCUUUGUUUUCACAGUUUCAAACACUGCUUUUGGCCAAAAGCUACAGCUUCCCCAAACAAAUCCAUUGACUUUUAUGUUGCUUAGUAGUACUUAGUACUUUUUUUCUCGAUUAUGUUCUAAUAAACUGUAUUCUUGGCUGCUUUGUCGGCAAAUUCUUUGGACUAAAAUGCUUGACAAAUCACUGUAUAUGUCCUAUAGGUUGAUGCAAUUGGAUGUUUUGUAUUUAUCCUGGUCAUCGCAGUUGCUAGUCUACAGAAACUUUUGCCAAUAAUGUCACACAUCAAACUUGGAUACUCUCUACUUGUGAAUUAUGGAUGAUGGAAAAAAUAAAUAUCACUUUGAUUUGAACUGCAACGCCAUUAGCAUGAUAUUUAUGGAAACAUCUUGCCAACAUGACACACAUCCUCUUCCUCAUACAGUUGUAAGCAUUGGCAUACCAUAGAAACUAAAACUAUAUCAAAGCCACACAUACACCUUGUUUUGUUACAAUGUUAUCUUGAUCAACCAACACAUAUGAAUAUGUAAACCACAUCCUGUUUUUAUUAGUCACAAGAUCCAAGAGAUACCAAUAUGCUAGAUCUACUCAAAGGGCCUUUGAUACAUGGACACUCUACCUAAGAUACUAAGAUCACACUGGGGACUUGUACUAAAAUGUAACAAACUAUGAGAUAAAUUAGUUUGAUAUGUGAAGGACAGCUCCCCUCUUAUUAAGUGACUGAAUAUGACCAUAUAAUGAAUACACAAAUCUCAUAUUUUACAGUAUAUAAAAUUAAAGGCUAAGAGGUAUUUAGAUUAAACAUCAAAUGUAACACAUAAAUGAAGCAAUUCUUUAGGUGUGCCCACAUAAGCCCUAAUACUUGAAUUUGUAAAUUAUAUUCUUGAUUGCUUGAUAUCUACUUGAAGCCAAUUAGAAUUUCUUAGAAAGAAAAAGGCUCUUGCUUUAUGCUAUGGUUUGUGAAUCAUUGAUUUGAGGGUGGGAGGCACACUAAAGUUCACAGACAUGAUAGAACACAACUGUUAGUUGGGAAACUGAUGUAGGAACAGUUACAUGUGAAGAAAAAAUUCUCAACGUGGUAAUCAAGGUACGACGUUGUGAAGAAUGGAAUGCAUAUGGGAAACCAUUGAAAAUCAUCAGGUAUCUUUUUGCGGUAUGUCGAUCUUUCCUGUCACAUAAAUUUCUUAAAACUCUAAACCUCAGUCACAUGCCCAUCCAAUCCCCUCGUUAGAAAAAACCAGAUUUUGUUUACCACAUGGGUUCCUGUCACACAUCAAACUUGGAUACUCUCUACUUGUGAAUUAUGGAUUAUGGAAAAAAUAAAUAUCACUUUGAUUUGAACUGCAACGCCAUUAGCAUGAUAUUUAUGGCAACAUCUUGCCAACAUGACACACAUCCUCUUCCUCAUACAGUUGUAAGCAUUGGCAUACCAUAGAAACUAAAACUAUAUCAAAGCCACGCAUACACCUUGUUCUGUUACAAUGUUAUCUUGAUCAACCAACACAUAUGAAUAUGUAAACCACAUCCUGUUUUUAUUAGUCACAAGAUCCAAGAGAUACCAAUAUGCUAGAUCUACUCAAAGGGCCUUUGAUACAUGGACACUCUACCUAAGAUACUAAGAUCACACUAGGGACUUGUACUAAAAUGUAACAACAAACUAUGAGAUAAAUUAGUUUGAUAUGUGAAGGACAGCUCCCCUCUUAUUAAGUGACUGAAUAUGACCAUAUAAUGAAUACACAAAUCUCAUAUUUUACAGUAUAUAAAAUUAAAGGCUAAGAGGUAUUUAGAUUAAACAUCAAAUGUAACACAUAAAUGAAGCAAUUCUUUAUGUGUGCCCACAUAAGCCCUAAUACUUGAAUUUGUAAAUUAUAUUCUUGAUUGUUUGAUAUCUACUUGAAGCCAAUUAAAAUUUCUUAGAAAGAAAAAGGCUCUUGCUUUAUGCUAUGGUUUGUGAAUCAUUGAUUUGAGGGUGGGAGGCACACUAAAGUUCACAGACAUGAUAGAACACAACUGUUAGUUGGGAAACUGAUGUAGGAACAGUUACAUGUGAAGAAAAAAUUCUCAACGUGGUAAUCAAGGUACGACGUUGUGAAGAAUGGAAUGCAUAUGGGAAACCAUUGAAAAUCAUCAGGUAUCUUUUUGCGGUAUGUCGAUCUUUCCUGUCACAUAAAUUUCUUAAAACUCUAAACCUCAGUCACAUGCCCAUCCAAUCCCCUUGUUAGAAAAAACCAGAUUUUGUUUACCGCAUGGGUUCCAAUGCUUGGGUGCACAAAUGUUUUUUCCCUAAUAACAAUUACAAUGCUAUAUCUAGGCUUGCAAGAAUCUAAGGCAUAAAGGUUAACAUUGCGAUGCAGACACCACAGCAAUUAAUCGAUCAUUUCUAUUCAUUUAGGACCAUUUCUUUUAUACUUAUUCUAAGAAGCUAGGUAUAAGUGCGUAGGGAAUGAGUUUACCUUCUGAAAUGGGGAGAAUGCACAUCCCAACAAAGCAUUUUACUAAAGCAUACUUCAUCAUGGGCAACCAUGGAUGAUUUAAUCAAAAGACUAGCUAUAGGAUCUUACAAAGUGAUCUAUAAGCAAAUAUGCUUAGCGUAGUCUAGAACCUCAUCAUCUCUAACCUACCUAGCCCAUGCACCCUUUAUUUGUUUGGAUAAACACUGCUCACUUUUUUAUAAGUCCCCUCACUCCAACUCCCAAAAAAAAAAAGAUCUCUUCUUAAAGGGGUGCCAGCAGUUGUCUUGAAGACAAAAAUCAAAUUUCAUGAAAGACAAAAGGGUCUUAGCAAUGCUUAUAUAAUGGUCAGGGAGUUUCAUCAAAUAGACACGAAUACAGGAGUUCCACAAACAUAAUAUGAUGCUCUAUCGAAAGGGUUUAAUAUGGUUCUAAAUAUAAUUUGAUAAUAGGAAAGCAUGGAAGAAUUUGUUUAACACUACAAAAUUUACAAAUUGCCAUGCAUUAUGAGGUGCUAUUAGAAAAGGAAAACAAGCUAAUGCUUCCAGCCCAUCUCGUAAAAAAUAAUCUCAACAAGAAUUACGAAUUUCUGGAUGAAAAUAGCGGAAGAUCUUUUUGCUCGCAAAGGAAAGAAAUUCAUUAAGCUAUUUGGAAAAGACAUUCCCAGCACAAAUAACGCAACCACUUGAGUUAUGAAGCAUAAUAGGUUAUAUAUCAUAACAUCAUUAACAACAAAAUGGGAUCCUAGAUGGGAUUCAAUGAAGUCACACCUUUCUUCCAGGAUUGCAGAACCCUCUUCAAAUAGUUCCUCGACAGCACCAACUGAUGAAAGUUUGUUCGUAUGUUUACCAACAGUGUUCUGCGACUUUUUCCCAAAAAGAAGAGAUGUAAACUUAUUCUGAUGCUUUUUUGGAGAUGAUGGUAGGACACAGCAAUCAGAUGAAGGUGGAAUGAUAUCAACAACUAAGCAAGUGGUGUCAUCUUUCAAGCCACUUGUUCUCAAAGCUUCCUAAAAAAACCAAAUCCACAAGAAUUAAGCAACGUGAGCUUAAAAAAAGCACUAAAACAAAUAUCUAUAAGUAAAAAGACGUAAGCCAUUAAUGAUUGGCAUCACCUUAACAACAAGCUUUGCAGCAAGUUCUGCAGGUAUCCCUCGGCACGCCUUCGCAGCCACCUCUGACGACAGAGCAUCCCAUAUGCCAUCUGACGCAAUUAUUAGCCGUCCUCCGGUUCUUGAAAGCUAACCAUCCAAUCAACAACAACAAAAAAACUAUUAUUCCAUGGGAUAUGGAAUACAACAAAACACCAAGUUUGAUUUACACUCACCUUCACUUGCUUAACAUGUGGUAUCGGGACGAUGAAUUCACCCACAUCUGUAUCACCUAUUGACCUUGAAAGGCACAAACCACCCGGCCAGCAGCGGAGCGGACCGACCUGAGAAGGCAGCACAAAACAAGUUUGCACUUCCCCAUCAAGAAAUGAACUUUGAUCAUAAAAUUUGCAACAGAGUUUCUUCAGAUUGUAUACCUCCUGCCCGCCAGAGAGAUUAAGCCUUCCAACCUCUCCCCCACUAGCAGUAACACGUUCCCUUUCCUCCGCAUUCUCUUCCAGCCUAUGAUCGACGGUCAGCAAAGAAACCACACCACCCUGUGUAUCCAGUAUGCACCGCGAGUCGCCCACCGAUGCGACCGUCACCCUCCACCCAUCAACCACAACAAGGGUCACCGUCGUCCCCGAAGUCUCCCCUGAUGACAACAAUCAACGAUCGGAUUUUUCUCAUCAGAUAAACAAAAACCAACAGCAGGGCACGCAUCAAGACUUGCCUUUGCGCUGGAAAUCUAUAUCCGUCCUCACGAAGCCGGCAACCAGAGCCUGCGGAAGGGCCUGGAGCCACUCCUCCCUGCCCAGCCCCGGAGGAAUCGCACUCAUAACAUUGUCCAAGAGAUGCUCUUUCGCGAACACGGCCGCAGACACUCCAUUGUGCCCAUCGAAGAUCUACAGACAAACAUUGAUUCCCGUAAUCGAAACCAAAAAGAAUAUACAAGAAACGGGAGGAAGUUAAAGGAGAUGGCGAUGAUACCGCGAAGACGGAGAAGGAGGAGGAGGAGUUGCCGGGGAUCCGGAGGCAAUCAGGCUUGAUGAGGAAGUAGUCCUCGCCCCGCUUGGCGAAGGCGUGGUGGCCGCACUUGAGGGUGGGCUUCUCGGACUUGUCGCCGCGGAGCUCGCGGCCGAUGAGGGUGGCGAGGGGGACCAGGGGAGGUCUCAUGCUCGGAUCCCGGUGCCGCCGGGCGUCGGUCAUUAGCGACGACUCCGCGGUCUCCUCAAAACCCUAACACAUGCUCGUGCCGGUCCUUCGAAGACCAAUCUCAUCUCAAAAACCGUAUAUUUCUUCCACCACUCGGAUCAGAAAACAUAGAGUAAAAGAUCAAGAAACGCAUCGAUGGAAACCCUAGGCGAGAUCGGCGGAGGGGAUCGGAGGCCCCAAUGCCGGUCGGAGAAGUCGAUCUCGGCGAUGGAGGAAUCAAGAAAAAGGAAAGAGAGGGAGGGAAGGAGAGUGGGCGUGGGGCCCAAUGGGGGCGAAGAUAUCGAGGAGGGAUAGCGAGAGAUCGACUGAGCCCACGGGUUCGGGAUUUGCGAAUUGUGGCAGAAAAAAUCCGAGAGAGGGAGGGAAGGGUUGGGGGGAAUGGGAUGUCGGUACCUACUGCGGAGGCCAAGGAGGGGAAGGGACCUGCGUCGUCUCUGUUCUGCGGCACCGUAGAAAAAGGAGAGACAGGGAGAGAAAGUAGUAAUGAUGGAUAAAAUACGGGGGAAUAAAUUUUUAAAAGAAACGAGAAAGAACGGGAGAAAGAAAAGAGUUGGUAUUUUGUUUUGGUUUGCAGCGGGAGUGGGGGCUGGGGGAGGGGCAAGGGGGAAGGUGUUUCGAUUUCUGCUUUGCUUUUCCAGCUGCGCAUUCAACUUUCUCCCUCUCUCUCUCUCUCUCCAAUCGCUAGAAGCUGUGUGCGGGGUGGUUCUAUAUACACCCCCCCUAUUGCUAAGGACACCCCCCAAAAACCAAAAAGAAAAAACCCAAACUAACCUUUAGUGUAAUUACCAUAUUGCCCUUGAAAUUUUCUCAUACAUCCCCCUUCCUCCUCCUCCGUUUCGUUUUGAAAAGAAAAAAAAAAAACACCCCUCGAACCCCCCUUAAACCCCUCAAUCCAUUUACAUCGUUUAGGCGAUCUUUGNNNNNNNNNNNNNNNNNNNNNNNNNNNNNNNNNNNNNNNNNNNNNNNNNNNNNNNNNNNNNNNNNNNNNNNNNNNNNNNNNNNNNNNNNNNNNNNNNNNNNNNNNNNNNNNNNNNNNNNNNNNNNNNNNNNNNNNNNNNNNNNNNNNNNNNNNNNNNNNNNNNNNNNNNNNNNNNNNNNNNNNNNNNNNNNNNNNNNNNNNNNNNNNNNNNNNNNNNNNNNNNNNNNNNNNNNNNNNNNNNNNNNNNNNNNNNNNNNNNNNNNNNNNNNNNNNNNNNNNNNNNNNNNNNNNNNNNNNNNNNNNNNNNNNNNNNNNNNNNNNNNNNNNNNNNNNNNNNNNNNNNNNNNNNNNNNNNNNNNNNNNNNNNNNNNNNNNNNNNNNNNNNNNNNNNNNNNNNNNNNNNNNNNNNNNNNNNNNNNNNNNNNNNNNNNNNNNNNNNNNNNNNNNNNNNNNNNNNNNNNNNNNNNNNNNNNNNNNNNNNNNNNNNNNNNNNNNNNNNNNNNNNNNNNNNNNNNNNNNNNNNNNNNNNNNNNNNNNNNNNNNNNNNNNNNNNNNNNNNNNNNNNNNNNNNNNNNNNNNNNNNNNNNNNNNNNNNNNNNNNNNNNNNNNNNNNNNNNNNNNNNNNNNNNNNNNNNNNNNNNNNNNNNNNNNNNNNNNNNNNNNNNNNNNNNNNNNNNNNNNNNNNNNNNNNNNNNNNNNNNNNNNNNNNNNNNNNNNNNNNNNNNNNNNNNNNNNNNNNNNNNNNNNNNNNNNNNNNNNNNNNNNNNNNNNNNNNNNNNNNNNNNNNNNNNNNNNNNNNNNNNNNNNNNNNNNNNNNNNNNNNNNNNNNNNNNNNNNNNNNNNNNNNNNNNNNNNNNNNNNNNNNNNNNNNNNNNNNNNNNNNNNNNNNNNNNNNNNNNNNNNNNNNNNNNNNNNNNNNNNNNNNNNNNNNNNNNNNNNNNNNNNNNNNNNNNNNNNNNNNNNNNNNNNNNNNNNNNNNNNNNNNNNNNNNNNNNNNNNNNNNNNNNNNNNNNNNNNNNNNNNNNNNNNNNNNNUAAGAUAUCCUCCGGCUAGAAAAAUACUGUAAUGAGGACUGAGGAGGUUAGAAUUUCUUUUUUUUUCUUCCUUUUCUUUCUUUCUUUCGCUCGUUCUUUCUUCUCCUUCCUUUUCUUCUCCUUCUUCUUCUUUUUUAUUUUUUAUUUUUUUACUAAGACAGAUAAUUUAUACAAGAUGUACAUAAAUACAUCCAAAAAAAUCAGAAAACAGAAAAUCACAUAGCUCCAAAGAUAGCUUCCAUUUCCAGCCCACAAGGUACUACCAGCAUAAUUAGCCACAUAGGCGGCCAUUCAAUUUACAAUCCCAUUAGCUUUUCUAAAUACAUGCUUAGCUUGGACGGUCCCACCAUCCAUCAUCAUCAUCCAGAUGUCUCGAAGCAAAGGAUGGUCGUAGUCGACAGCCCUCGGACCCUCUUGGAUCUAUCUGAUGAUCGUAGCCGAGUCACCCUUCAGGAUGACUGAACUAGCUAGUAGCACUCGCCAAGCAUGUCCAAGGCCCGCCCAUGGAGCCCUCAACUCCACACCAGAGACCAUAAUGUCGAGUAACUGACAACCACCUGCUGCCACUACUCUGGAGCAUGAGUUUCUGAUUGCGAAACCCAUGCCUCCCUUUGUGCCUCCAUUCAGCACAGACCCAUCAAAGUUGACCUUAAGAAAGCUUGGAGAUAGAAGCUCCCAGGUAAAGAACAUCGUAUGGGGUACUGCUAAGGCAGAAUGGCAACCUCAAAUAUUUCGAGCUGUCAAAGACCCUUCUACGCAGGAGACAUGACUAAUCUCCACCGUCUGUGCUCUGACACUCUCCGCUACGAGCCUCGGCGACAAACUAUGCUUGUCAAAAGUUCGAGCAUUCCUUGUCAGCCAGAUUUGGUAUACUGUGCAAGUCGUUCUAACAGCCUUCUGACGUAUCAGUGAAUUAUCCAACCACCGACAGAUGGUCCGUAAGAACAAGUGUUUUGACUCCAAACCUCCCUCAAGACUUAGGAGUUAUGCAUGCUAGUUAAGUGCCAUUCCUGCCAAAUAUAUGAUAGUUAUCCCGCAUACAGUAGUUGUGCAUGCUAUUCCCUCUCAAGCAAAACAAACUCAAAUAAUUUCACGAUAAUCUCAAGCCACUCGCGCUUGGCAGAUAACAAGGGGAGCAGGGGAGAGUCCAGAUCACCGUGCCGACCGUGCAAUUUAUGCGCGUGCUGAGGAACGUGCCGUGGUUAUCAAACCCAAACCCCAAGCGGUGAGUCAGACCGUGAAAUCGGAGAACCGUACCUCGAGCCGGGUCCGGCUUUGUAACGAGACCGCUGUCAGUGAUCCGUACACCGAAUCAGCCAAAACCCCACGCCCGCGGGGGACGUUGAUGCGGUAUGGGAGUUCCGACACGUGCACCAAUCACACACGGGGCACAUGCCCCGGCACCUGCGCAGGGAGGAUCCCCACAAUGUGAACCAGCGCCAUGAUAUUAUAGUGUAACUAGUGUCCCACCAAACAUACAUCAUUUGUGGUAACAAUGCCAUUUUAGGUUAGAAAGAAUAAGUAAUCCUUCUGUUUUUUUAUUCCAAUUUCAUUGCUAAGCCUACCAGAUAGGGGGAAAAUGGAUCAGAUGAUAUCAAUCGAGAUCUAUUUUUCAAUUCAAAUCUAUUAGGAUAUGAAUAAAAAUUUGAGAUUAAUGUGCGUAUUCAUAUCCAUAUCUAUUAAAGAAAAAUAGAUAAAAAAUAAAUAGACUAUCUGAAUAUCUAUUUUUAUUGGUAAUUUUAUUUAAUUUUAUAUAGCAUUCAUGACUUUUUAAGAAAAAUAAAUGAUUGUAUUAGUAUACUAUUAAAUUAAUUUAUCAUUUACUUUAUAAUAUUUUUGAUUCUGUGGUCACAAAAUUUAAUUAUCCGACUUAUAUUCGUAUUUAUAUUUAUAUUUUUAGUAUCGGAUUUGUAUUUGCAUCUAUUUAAGAUAAAUAUUAAUAUAAAUUUUUGCAACAGACUAAUAUUGGUAUCUAUAUCAGUAUCCAUCAAAUAAAAUAAAUAUGGAUAUCGAUAUACUAGUAUUUGAUCCAGUAGUGUCACCUUUUCAUAGCAAAAGUAAAUUAGGUAUAUUAUCUACCAGGCUAAUGGAUAUUUGGACUAAACGGGACAUAAAUAAUGAAGCAAAGUCUAAACUCGCGUUGAAGGAUAUAUAGAAAGAUGGUUCGAGGAUAUUGUUAUAUGAUCAAGAAUGUCUAUAUGUACCGCCACAUGGCUUGAGGCAUGGUCCAACAAUAGAGCUAGUGGAACCGCACUAAGUUGUUUGCAAAAGAACCUUUACAACCAAAGGGAUUUAUAAAGAUCAGAUAUACGAAUGUUUUGAUAAACAAAGGAUCAAUGAUGCUAGAAUGAAGCUUUUCCCUCCUCCAUAUAAACACCAACUAAUGCUCGUCACGUCAAGUGAUACCUAGGAAUCACACUCGAGACUUAACCAAUAACCACCCUCCAUACACAUUAGGAAUCUCUUAAAUUGGCACUUGAGAAUGUGCAAUGAGAUCAUGAAAUGUUGCUCAUGUUUCAAGGAACGGAGUCAUCUUUAUUUAAAAUCAUAGGUGCCAGAUAAAUAAAACAUGAGGCCACUUACGAACGCCAAAACUAUGAUAGACUUGUUCUGUUUGCUAGCCACCAUUAUUCGCCUAUUGAAGCAGGCAAUUAGGGGUCUAGGAUACACCAUUUGUUGGAUUUUCUCUUUUGCUUUCAAGCACUAAAAAAUCUGGAAAAGUUGUGCAACAAUAAAUAUCGUAGAGAAACAACAUAUUUUGAAAUUAAAACCAAGUGUAAAUCGCAGUAAAUUUGUAAGAUUGAUCACAAAUCUUUUAUGAAAAGUAAAAGUUUAACAAAGUAAGGCUUAGAAGUAAUAUAAGCAAAAGGCUAAACUACAUAAUAACCCUCCAAAUGCAUUAACCCUGAAUCCAUGGAUAACUAAUACUCUCACUAUUUCAAGUAACGGAUUGAUUCAGCAUACCAUCUUUCACACCCCUUCAACCAAUAAGACUGUUCUUCAUCAAGUUGGUAGUUGGUACCAAAGAGACAAACUGACCUAAACCACUGUAGAGAAAACCUUUUUGUCAGGCAACUUUUCUAGGAUACAAUUCUUCUCAUUAUUAGCAGAGGGAAAAGUCCACAAUAGUGGUGCAACUUGAUGCAUUUAGAUCAGUAGAACAUGAGAACAAGAAAUAAUCAUAUAUGAUUUAGUCUCUUCGCCUAUCAACUGUUCGUGAGAAGCUAAUCUUAUAAAAUGCAACUUAAAAGGAUAACUACUUGCAACAAAGUCAUCAUCUUACUAGAUAUAAGUUAUAAAGAUUCAUUGUAAUUUUUCAGACUAAGCCUUCGACGUCACACAAGAUAUGUUCAUGAUAAGAUAUGGUGAAUGUAUGGUUUUAAACAACGGCAAUAUAACUGUUAUAACAGUUUAAUACACCCUUAUUAUGAAGAAAUAUAAUAGCUAUUAUUUUGUAUUAUUUUCUGUUAUUUUCUAUUUUUUUAAUAACAAGCAUUAUAACACAAAUGAUGAAUGUUGUUUAUUUAUACUUUCUUUAUUUAUACACAGACAUAUAGAGAGGCCAAUGGGGCUGCAGAUUAGGUGACAUCGUAUGUGGCCAACUAUUUUAGAAAUACUCUGUAGGUGGAGGAGAGGGAGUUACCUAGUGCACUCCAAGAGCUAUUGUUUUUUAAUUUUUGUUUGGUUGUAUCCGUACCCACAUUAUAUGAUACAUCAGAGUUAGCAAAAAAAAUAAAAAAAUAAAACAAUAUAUUUAUUUUGAUUUUCAAAAUUUCUGCUAAAAAUUCCUUCCAAAAAUCAUCGUGCUUUCCAAAAAAUAUAUUAUUUUAUUAGAUAAAAAUUAAAGAAAAUAUAGCAUCAAUAUAUCACCAUCUUUUUGCUAAGACAAGAUAUUUUCUGUCAUAAUACUGUUAUAAUAGCCAUUAUUUUGAAGAUUAUUGUGAUAUUAAAAAUUUAACACUUGUUUUUGAGGCAAAAAAAAUAUGUCAAUCUAUAAUUGUCAAUAACUGUGGGUGAUCGAAGCUGCAAAUUUCAAAAUAAUUUUAAGGAUAUGUUCGACAUUGCUGAUAAGAGCAGGGAGAAAUCAGGUCAUUGGGAUAAAACCAAGCGUGCGAUUUUCCAUUAUUGUACGGCGUUGGAUUCUAUAACGGAUCCAGUGGAGCUCCCGGGCCCACCCCGUCGAGUUCUACGGGAGACGAUCCCCCGAGUCCUGGGUCCCACGAUUAAAAAAGACACACAAGAGCCGGACCGUCGGAUCGGAUUUCGACGGUGGAUUUGCUCGACGCGUCGAGAUAUGGACGGCAGCGGGCAAAGGGGUGUAUCUAGAUGGCGAAGGCGACACGGCGGGACGCGGUGACGUGGCCAUGUGACGAUGGGCCCCACACGGGGCUCGUCCACUCAUCGGCUCAGGUGCCCCCUAGCUGUAGGUUUGACGGAAAGAAGCCUCCUUUUCUCGAAUUCGCUCCCAGUUUUCAACUCGCUUUUCCUCCGCAAUGAAACAUCUAACUGAAGCUUGGUGCGGGGCUUUUUAUUUUAUUUUUAUUUUUAUUUUAUUUUUUUUAAGCGGACGAGCCGAAUAUAAUAUGGAUAUGGACACAUCUACUAAAAUAAACAAACAAAAUAUCGUGAAAUGUCAUAAGUAGCUUCUCCUCCUGAGNNNNNNNNNNNNNNNNNNNNNNNNNNNUGUUUCUUUCUAGCAAUUCAGCCGUAGUAAUAUGAUGAUAUGAUGCAGACAAGAAGAAGUUUUAGUUAAUUAAUUUGUCCACUUCUUUUGUCAAGACCAUCGUCUUCAUGGUUGGGUAGUAGAAAAGUCUAGGAUGAUUUGAGUUCUCAGCUUGCAUCCCUUUCUUUUAAAUUAAAAAAAUGAAGGCAAGAACUUAUCCAUUCAAUUUACAAGACAAAUCCCACCACCAUAGGAAGUUCUAAGCCACUUGCAUAUUGGAUAAAUAUCUUUUGUUAGAUGGAUCUUGUUCAUCAUCUUUAUUCUUAUUUUAUAUUUGAAAAUUCAUCUCCUUGCGCCAUGUUAGUACCCAGGAAUAGCUGAAUAAAAUAACAAAAGUAAUAGAAAAUAAAAGAGCAUGGUAGAUCAAGAUUGACUGUGGUUCACCUAAAAUCUAUGUUAUAAGUACUGAGGGAGUGGCAGGUCCACUGUAACAAAUGGAGUAUGCGAGAGCUCACCGAGAAAAAAUGAUUCGGAGAAAAUAUAAGAAUAGAUUUUGCCAAGAAAUCUAAACAUAGAAGAAUCACAUGUGUCAAGAUCUUGAGACCAAAAAAUAAUGUUCAAGCUCUAUCUUUUGUUCUCUCCCUCAUAUUUUGCUUCUAACACCACAUUGCAUCCUCCCACAGCAUUGAUUCGAUCACUGACCUUUCAAUCCUUAUAACUUUCUUGUUUCUUGGCCAAAUUGGGCAUAUGAAUGUAGAAAAGACCUAAUGAUGGCCUUCGAAUAUAUAGCGGCCAUUGAUCAUAUGAUAUUUUUGUUUUGAGAGAAAAAUGGUCUGCAAGAAAAAAACGUCCAUAACUAUAAUAGAACUUGUGAUUCAUUUUUUUCUCAAACCACAUGUUAUAAUUGGCUGCAAAUUUUCAGAAAUGAUCACACCCCAAUAGGCGCUAUAUGAAAAGAAAGUUCAAACACCAAGCAUAGCAAAAGUUGCCAUUGAAGGAUAUGGAGGUCCUACUAAUAGCCAGCCUAUGGAAAACCAUAUAAACAAAAAUUUCGAAAGUAUAUUCAACAUCUUUAGAGCCUCGAGAAACAUGAAAGGCUAUGAUACCAAUGACAGAAAUCAAAUCUUCGGUCAGAAUGAAGAUCAAUAACAUACCUCUCGAAAGCAUGUGAUCAAAGUUUCCAAAGUUCAUCUUCAGCUAGAAUUAUAUAUUUUGGUCUCCUUGUGUUCUUGAACAUCUUCUUCCUUAUUGUAUCGAAAAUUCGUGGCCAGAAAUUUGUUUGUAAUUGAAAAUUAAACUCUUUCACAAGAGUCUAUAUAAAAAGGGAGAGGAAUUUCUUCCAAUAAUCUCUCUCAUUUUUUAUCCCUUCAUUUUACUAUUAGGUGGUUACGUUGGUUUGUAGCAGUUCUGACAACUAUACAAGAUGUAAUAACUCCCAUCUGAACCUAUUUGAACUAGGCAUGGGCAUGCUCUCAUGGGCACCAGCCUCUGGCUCUUGAAUUAGUGCUUGUAUAAAUAGUACAUGGAUGAGAUACUAAGUUUCAUAACCCGCAUAAUAUAUCUCUGUAUACACUUUCUAUAUGCUAUGCUAUUCAUUGUGAACUAGGAGAUACCCUAGUGUUCUCAUCUCUUUGCCAAAUAAAUAAAUAUAUCUGAAUCUUGGAUAGUGUAUUCACAGGAAUUUAGUUCCUGGUAAUUAUAAUUCUUGUGGAUCAUUUUGUUAUCUCAAAAAUUCUUGGUAACAUUAUUUGCAUAAGUAUUCUAAAAGGAUGUCAGAGAUAGUUUAUUAAUAACCAAAGUUCCAUAAGUCAUCCCAUAUAUGCAUGUUGGGUAUGUACAUGCUGCGCCUCUCUAACAUCAUGUUGUUUCAAGGCCCUGGAUCGCUAUAUUAAUUAAAGCUUCACUGCAGCCAUGCAACAUGCACAUAUCAAACAUGUACACGCAUACCAAGGCAGUGUUGAGUUGCCAAGAAAGUGAAUAGGGAAACCAUGAUAAAAAAAAGAAAAUAAAAUGAGGAUUAUGUAUUGUUGGCCUAUUUUUAAUAAAUAAAAAAAGAAUUGUAGAUGAAUUUUGUUGUUUGCUACGCAAGAGAUAAUCUGAGAUUCUAUUUUGUUUAUCUUUCCAAAUUCUUGGAGAGGAAAGAGUUUUUUUAGCCCCUAUAAGCAAUCUUUUAAUAAGGAAAAAUAUAUAAUAGAGUGGCUAGAGUAAUAGUAUUAAUAGUAGUAGUAAUAGUAAUAAUUAUAGUAGCAAUAGUAAUAAUAAUAGUGAUAAUAAUAAUAACAGUCAUAAUAGGAGUAACAACAAUAACAACAUCAAUAACAACAACGAUAGUUAUAUAAAGUUAGGCCUAGUUUGGGCCAAUCAUUUAUGACCCCAAAAACCCAUCCAAGCUAUCUCAACAAUUCAGCUGCAAAGUCUCCGCUUUCCUUUAUCUCUAAUUUCAGUUAUAACAAUAGCAACAUUAUGUAAUAUUGUAUACUUUAAAUGACAAGUUGUAACAUCCACAUUCAUUGGAGAUAGUUUUUGUAACUCUAUAUAUUCAAAUAAACAGCUCUUAGUGAGGGCCAAACUAGUUUUUUCAUAUUAUUUUACUUACAUAGUAUCAGAGCAUUCAAGCUAACUCUUGAUUCUGAUAUAGCUUCCACAACCUUAGCAAACUUGGUCUAACAGUGGAAACGCUUUAACGACCACUGGCAAACCAUGGAGCAACUUAAUUCGCUGGAUAUUCUAUCGUCGAUGGCCUCCGGUUGUGGCGCCGCCGCAUCAGGCUUUAUCGCAAAACUUGGCGAUGGACAAUAGACUUCCCUCCGGCAUGACACAGGGGAACGAGCCGCUAAAAACCUGUUUCCGAUGUCUAACAAUCCCUCCAAAAUUUGGAUGAGUUUGUUCGACACCCAAACAAUCCCUCCCAGAUCUUGAUAGAAUUCCGACUGCUAUCAGCCAUCAUGCCUCAAUGCCCGAAUGUAACGACGCCAGAGUGUGGAGAUGGAACGCCUCUGGAGCCCUCUCAGUGGCGAAGUUGCUCUUGUUUCUCAUCACACGGCGACAUCUUCUCUCCACUCGGUAAAACUUUUGCUGACUUUCUGUUCCCGAGAAAGCAAAGAUCUUUAGAUGCCUAUGCUUCAGCAGCAGAGUAUUGACCGUCGAUAACCUUGCAACAAAGGGCAUCAAAGGCCCGAGUGCAUGCCCCCUUUCCUCCUCUCAGGAAGAGUCAACAAUUCAAUAUAAUCUGAAAAUUAUACAAUUCAUCUGCAAAAAAAUUCUAAAUAUUACAAUAACUAAACUAUUAACCUAAGAUAUUGCAUAUAUUAUACAUGCCACACAAGUUGUACCAUAGAGCUUCUUCUUCUAAAUUUUACGAUUCAAAACUUCUAGUGCUUAAGUUAUUUAUACAUUAUUCGGAAAACAUUAUAAUAUAUGUAUGCUGAUCAAACCAGUUCUACCAUCCAUAAGAACGGCCUUGCCUUUAAUAUUUUCCUAAAAUACUGAUAUCAGUCUAGCCUCUGGAUCCUGGAUAUGAAAAAUAUUGGUAAAGAUUAUGCCCAGUGAGUGACAAAUACAAUUUACAAAACUACUUCAAGCCAUAUUAAUAAUGUAAUUCAAUUAAAUCACAUAAGAUAUGAUACAUCUUUACAAGUAAUGUUUAUAGUAUUUAUUAUCAAUAAUAUCUACAUACCAAAAUUACAUGCCAUCUUUUCAAUAAUAUUGGUAUAAAGAAUUGAUACAUCAUAUCAGAGUACAAUACGUGUCCAAUAUCAUAAUCAUGCUUAUAUUUAUAUGUUUAAGUGGGAUACUUAAUCUUUUUAGCUCUAUAACCCUGACUGCAGUGUAUUUAUACUAUGCUGCUCAAGUAUCACCAUAAUUAUCCUCGUGGUGGGGUCACUAUAAUGUCGCCCAUGGUGGGGAUCACCACGAUCGCCCUUGUGGUGGAGUUGCCAUAUUAUAUUUACCAUGAUCAUCCCCAUGGCGAGGAUCACUAUAUAAUCAAGUCUGGACUCAUAUAUAGUAAGGUUGAGAGUCACACACACACACACACAUAUAUAUAUAUACAUAUAUCUAUAUAUAUAUAUAUAUAUAUAUAUAUAUAUAUAUAUAUAUAUANNNNNNNNNNNNNNNNNNNNUAUAUAUAUAUAUAUAUAUAUAUAUAUAUAUAUAUAUAUAUAUAUAUAUAUAUAUAUAUGUAUAAUUUAAGUAUUUCUUUUUUUUUAAUGCUUGAUUUCAUUAUAAUAGGUAUCAACAUAUAAUUUGAUAACAGAAAAGCCAUCACCAAUUAAUUAAUCGUAUUUAUAGAGAUUUCAAACACUAUUAAAUUUGAAUUUACCAUAAUAAAUUAUAAUUUUAAUGAUAAAAAUUUAAUUAACUUUAAUUAAUUAAUAUAAAGUGGAAAUGUUACUUAUCUUGUAGAUAUGAACCAUUCAACGAUCUAAGUACUUCUUUGGGGUUCCUCAUAAUCUAAUAAUCCAAAAUCACGUGCAUGUAUCGAAUUAUUAGUACAAUCAUAUUUUAAAAUUAAUUUCUAAAAAUCUCUAAAAGAAUUCCAUUUUUUCUUAUUUUUUAAAAAUUCUAAAAUUUCAGGUUAUAACAUUUCUUUGUACCUAGUUACAAGACAGAAGGUGAGAGUUGGUACGGUAAAAAUUGCGCCGGGCUUGCUCAAAAGCGAGAGAAAGAAAGAAAGAAAGAGUGCGAGCCUUUACCCUCUUAACAUGCUCGCGCACCAACACACGGGUGGAGAGAGAGAGGGGGGCCUUUCCUCUCUUUCUUUUCAUUUUGUUUUUCCUCCUUAUUUUUUGCCAGAGAGAAUCCGGAAGGAAGAAAGGAAGAGAAGAAGGAGAGGAAGACAGGGUGGGAGUGGGAGGAUGGGUGAGAGAGAGAGAGAGAGCGUGAGAGGAAGAUGGCGAAGGAGGAGGAGGAGGAGACGGCGGAUCGGUGAGGAGAUGCCGGAAGGGCGACCGGCCGGUGGUUCAGCGGAAAAGGAGGGUGGAGGGAGGAAAGAAGAAGAGAGGGUAUGCUGCGGUGGGAGCUAUGGUCACGGAAGAAAGGCGCAGGUCACUGCCUUAGGGCGGGCCCUCCAUAUUUUAAACCUGGUCCACGGGGCCCAGGUAUCACAAACCCAAUAAAAUACCAGCACCGAGACCACCCUUCACCUGGAUCUCGAAUCACCCUCCUCCCCUUCCGUCCCUGGCAAAGUCGCCGUUCGGACUUGGGGUGAGGAGGGGUGGUGGCCAUGGAUCCGAGAGAGGAGAAGACGAAGGAGAUGCGAGCGACGAUAAAGAGAGAGAGCACCCUCGUUUCCCCAACUUCAACAAUAAAAUCUAAACCUAAGGAUGGGGAGGCGAAAUUCAGCUCAUUAGCAUCGCCCAAAAACUUUGCGGGCUCGUUCCGUUUGCGAAAAAUAUUUUUUUUAUAAAAAAUAUAAAUUUUGAUAAAUUUUUUAAAAAAUAAAUAUUUAAAAAAAUAUUUUUAAUAUGUUUAGUUAAUCAUAAAAAAAUAAUAAAUUUGUAAAGUGCUUAUGUUUGAUUGACCAUCAAUUUUUUGUAAAAAGUUAUGUAUAAUUUCUAUUAUAUUCUUAACAAAAAUUAGAUUUUUAAUAUCUCUUUAAUGCUGAAGAAUUUUUUUAGAAAAAAUAAAAAUUGAAUAAUUUCCGACUCAUAAAAAAAACUUUCUCAUACUUCUCAUAGUAAAAUUUUUUUUUAUAAAAUAUAAAAAUUAUAUUUCUAUGAGGAUACAAUUUUUUUACGUCUUUUUUUUUUCAAAAUUUUAACAGAAACAUUAUUUUAUUAUUAUUAUUAUUAUUAUUAUUAUUAUUAUUAUUUUUGGCGAACCAAACGGGCCCUGCAUGUUGCACCCAAAAUUCGGGGUUUUGGACAUCACUUAUUGGUGUCCUAGUUCACACUGUUUACGAGAAUGAGUAAAUGCUGUAAAGAACCAUCUCUGACAGGCCAAGCAUAAAGUCCCAUUUCACAUACAUGAGUGCGACAAGGUAGAUUUUGAGGACACAAAAGUCGCAUUGCCUUCCAGUUGGUGAGCCUGGUCCGGCUCUGGUACUAUUACGUAAACUAUUUGCCCACAUUUUCAAUAGGUGAAGUGAAAGCAAAGCUAGAGGGAGACUGAGAAAUAGAUGAUGGCCCUCACAUGGGAUAGCUAUUUGAAAGCAAAAGCAGUAAUCAUGAGAGGGGAUGAAAAUGAGAAAAGAAGUAAUUAUGAGCAUCCAUGGAAAAAGAACCAACAACUAUACACCUGUGCAGAACCAUCUCUUCUUUUGCAUUUCUUCUUCUUCCAACUUUUUCUUUUCCUUUCCUUUAUGAAUUAUGAACAUGGCAGAUAAAGAAUGGUCAUCUGAAAAUGAUACAUGUCGACCACUUGAAGCAAAAGCAAAGAGGGUGUGGUAGGACUCCCACCACCCUUCACUACAACCACCAAACCAAUCCAAGCAACUGGGGUUAUUGGCACUCAUUACCAUACUCGAGGACAAGGCCCUCGAUCUAUCAUGAAAAUCUAAAAAGAAAGCCAGGAAACACGCAGCAUCCUUUCAAGAACCGUCCUUAUUUCGCAUUGUUCAUUUUCCCACCAGAUGAAGUCCGUUUCCCAUCGCUGCUGAUAGAAUUAGGCUGCCUCCCUGUCCGAUUAGACCCGUUCGACACUUUCCUGGAUGGCGAAGGGAGGUGUGCAUGGUUUGGAGUUCUAAAUUAUAGUAGAGGAAAAUAGGAACCAUUAGAAGCAUUCAGAAUGAUUUAAUUGAAAAAGAAUGUGCUUAAAGUAAUGCAGUAAACAGAAACAGACAGGCUUAUUUUGCUCUGUUGAGUAGUAGGUUCGAACAAAAUUUAGAAGUACAGAAAAUUCAAAAUUCAUGUUAUAUGUCAUAUAUGAAUCCCAACAUGGUAGUCUAUAUAUCUCACAAUACUAGCUUAAUUAAGCCAGCUUCAUAGCAAAAAAAAGGGGGUUGAAAUUUGUAUUUCUACUUAUGUGACAUCAACGGUUCGUAGAUUGNNNNNNNNNNNNNNNNNNNNNNNNNNNNNNNNNNNNNNNNNNNNNNNNNNNNNNNNNNNNNNUUCUCAUUAAACAAAAAAGAUGCAAAAGACUUGCACACAAAGAAAUGACUGAACACAUGCAACCAAGGAAGACCCUCCAAGACUAUAUCAUCAGUGACAAGCAUGUAAACCAAAGGACUUCAUCCUGACCUCAAAGUUGCCAACUAUGAGACCAGUAAGCCAAAUGAAAGAAACCCCCCCUAAAGCAUGAGAUUCAAGUUCAAUGCCAGGGCGGUUGGAAAGGGUUGGAGAUUGUUGGUUAUGAUCACAGAUCUUUUAUGGAGACAAAUAAGCUCUGACUAACAAGACUAUAUUAUCAGUGACAAGCAUGUAAACCAAAGAACUUCAUACUGACCUCAAAGGGGCCAACUAUAAGACAAGUAAGCCAAAUGAAAGACAACCCUAAAGCAUGAGUUUUAAGUUCAAUGCCAGGGCGGUUGGAAAGGGUUGGAGAUUGUUGGUUAUGAUCACAGAUCAUUUAUGGAGACAAAUAAGCUCUGACUAACAAGCACCCUAAAGUGGGUGCACUUCUAAUGCCUAGCUGUGAUGAGAAGGAUAUAACAAAAAGAAAGAGUAUUCCAGACAGUAAACCUGCACUUCCUACAACUGCAGCAAAACUUGCCAUCACUGAAAGCUGGUAGUAGCCUAGAAUCUCCAAUCUGAACAUAUCCAGCUGUUUGCCUAGCAAAUUGCAAUGCUCUAGUCUGCUGCAAGAGUUAUUGGUUGCAGCUAGACAACACUAUACAGUGAGUGAUGCAUGCUAAAAGGAUUAUUAGGGAAAAGAAUUGGCAUCUGCCGCAUCUCUGAUAUGGCAUGAUACCAUGCUGGUUUUGUUUUCAACAGUUACUGUAGCCUAGGAUGGUGUUCCUUCAAUAUAGCAAAAUUAAUAACAAUAAAACAUUAGAAAUUUUCCCCAACUAAACAACAAAUUUCUAAUAUUUAGAUCUCAAACAAAAGGCCACCAUCAUAAAACAUCGUGGAUAUGCAUAAUUUUGGUCAUCUGUUCUCAACCUACAAUAAAAGGGAAAAGUAUAAUUUAUUUUUAGAAUACUAAGAAACAAAAAAAAAACAUACAAAAUUAGAAUAUGUUAUCACUGACUAAAUUGACUCGUUGAUGUAGCAGUUUUAGCCGUAUUGGUUUUGGCAAUUCAACCAGAACUCAUAAGAGAGGAGUUUUAGGAUGCAAACAUAACUUCAAUAAUCCUGUGAUAAAAAAAAUUAAAAACAAGAAACUUUCUUUCACAUCUAGACUCAUAACAUUUUAAAAUAUCUAUAUUUGCACAAUCAAAGGUACAGCUUUAGCUAAAUUGCUGGUCAAUGAUUACCUUAUAUCUGGGCUAUUUGUUGGCUUUUGUUGAGGUUUUUUGAUCCUUGACCCACCUUCAUUAACUGCAGUAUUAACAUUUUGGAGAUUGAAUUGCCAUAAAGUGUCCGCUUCUGAAGAAUCACUUGUUGCAAUGUCUAAAUCAUCUGAAUCAUCAGUGCCCACAGAAUAAAACCGGCUUCUUUGCAUAUCAAAAUCAUGACUAUCUUUUCUCCUAGUGGCAUUCCUGAGGUAUUGUUCUGGAUAAGCUCCCACAUCGGAAACAUACCUUUGGUAAAAAAAGUCAGGCAGGGGUGCCCUAUCUCCUUCCCAAUCCCUUAAGGAAUCAUCAUCUCUGAUCACAGCCUCAUGCUUGUUCACCAUGACCUUGUCAACCCAGUCUCCAGGAACACUUUCUUUAUCUUCUCCCAUCUGAAAAAUUGUUCUGGGAUUGCUGUCUGGCCAAGGGGAAUCAUUUGCCAUUAACAACUCUUGGAGAUCAAAGCUUGGUUUCUUUUGUUUCAACGAAGGUUUACUCCACAUCUACAAAUAUAUCAUUAUUAGAAAAUUCAUGCUUCAGGAUAUGGCAAAGCAAAAAUGCAGUCAAGAUAAAUUACCAGCAAUAAUCUAUUUCAUGGUCAUAGGAACCAAUCAAAUCAAACCAUCAUCUCUGGGAAGCCAUAAAGAUCUUUGAGCAGAAAUUAACCAGUUUCUAUUCAAGCACUGAUGAUAUGAUAAAAAGUGCCAUAACCCAGUUAUGGUCCCAGCAAUCCGGGAUCCUGUGAGAGGUAAACUGGGGACAGUCCUAACGUUUAGCAUUUUUCUUGUCAGUCCUAACCUGGCCCCUAUAGAUGAUAUAAUACAUGGAAGAAAAUACAUAAUUGAUAUCACAGUAUUUAUAUAACAUUUUCUACUUGACAUAUAUAAAAUCGUCAAAUCACUUUCAAGAUGCUGAAUCCAAAAUAUAGAUCCCUAAAAUAUUUAAAAUUGUGAGGACUGAUGAAAAUGAUAGAGAUGAUACAGGUCAUCUAUGCCUAUGAACUGAAGCAAAAGCCUGACUUAUAUUUAAUAAUUAUUAAUCUUGAGUGAAAAAUCAAAGUCUUAAUAUUUAAGUGAUAUAUCUAGCAUCUAAUAUGCAAGUUAAACAUAUUUAUUGCAUUAGGGAGGACGUGUAUGAAUAUAACUGUUUAAUUUGAUAGUGAUGAAAUGAAUAGCUAAAGAGAAAUUAUAAUCCAACAACACAGCACAUUUAAUAUAGUGAGAGCAUUCACAAUCCCUAAUUUAGUAUUAGCUGUCCUAAGUACGAUACCUCUAUGUUUCCAACAUCCUCCAUAGGCUGUCUGCGGUUAGUUUGAGUAUUUAAAUACUCUUCACCAUGCCGCCGAUUUGAGUUUACAGGUGAUGGUGCCUUCAUGUUGAGCAUGUCAGGAUUUGGUAUUAUAUUCUGAAGAUGCUCUGAUCCUCCUUCUUUCCUUGCUAAUGCUGCUUUAAGACAGGCUAUCUGAAAUAAAGAGAAAAGGGAUCUUUAUAUCUGAAAGGACAAAGAAAUAUGAAACAGAGGGAUGUGUAUCAUAUAUAUCAAUUUAGAGGUAAAAGCUCAGGCAAAAAACCUGCUCCCUGAGCUCUUUAACUUCUCCAUUUUCUUUAUUUAUUCGAGCAGCACCAAGUUCAACAGUAGAAACCCGCUCAGCAAAUUUGAGCGUGCUAAUCGUUUCUCCAACAGCAUCCAUUUCAGGACUUAUAUGGACAAACAUCAAUGUUUUUGCUUGCCCACCUGAAUAUUUAAACUUAUAGAGCUCAGUGAAAUAGAGAUAGAACUUCUUUUAAUUCUCAUUAACAAAUUAACAACAUUGAAGGCAUAAAAUUUACCAAGAGAGUCUUGAAGCAAUUGCGUGAGUUUACUAUUUCUGUAAGGAACAUGCGAGUUCUUCUGGGCAAGAGCAGAUAUUACAUCCCCUAGAGCUGAGAGCGAUUUGUUUAUAUGUUGCGCCUCUUUUAGCCUUUCUCCCGUGGCCUCAGAUUUAUCAACUCUUUCACUGCCUGCAAGAUCAACUAAAUGCAUGCAUCCCCGAAGGAUCGUUCCAGAUGUCAUAUCUCUUCCUUGAACAUGAACAGUCAAGCAACUGCAAGCAAGAUCAUUUGGCAUCACAUACCCAUGUAAAUGGAAUUAUAUUAAUUUAUAGUGAAUCAAAUGCAACAUUAAAUCAUCAUAACACACCUAUGAGAACGGCUGCUACGGUCAUUCAAUGCUGUAGCACCCACAGCACGGUUCUUCUGCCCAAUGUUCAUUAGUUCAAUGACAUCAGAUGUUGACAUAACAGGGACUAAGUUUGCAUCAGGCACAUUAAGUCCUUUCUGGGAACUAUUACGAAUUUCUAAUGUAUUUACUUGUUAAGGAAAUUUAGUAUUACUGUCAGAAAAAGUUGAAGAAUGAGAACAUAUUAGCAAUAAAUAUGAUGCUUAAAAGUACAUCUAAAUUUGUUCCAAAAAUUACUACUACGCAUACCUGAGACAGACGUCCAACUACAAAGUCAAAACAAAAAUCUAAGAUGAACUAUUUUACAUAUUGAAACAUUUACUUGUAAAGGAAAUCAAACACAUUAAUGAAAUAUUUUGGAGCAGAAACAAAUAAAAGUGGGAAGGAUAUCUUUUGUUAAGACCAUCACUGACAAGAAGGUCUCUCACUUGCUCAUUGUAAAUUUCAAUCAUUUGAACAGAGAUUUCAUAAUAAAAUGCGCCCCUUCUUUGUUCUGAGAGUUUAAAUAGGUCACUCAGUGCCUUAUAAUUCACUCCCUGUGUUUGCUCAUUCAGAUUCCUAGGCCCACUCUGCAUAACAUAUAAAAUUAGCUCAACUGAGGUAGUUAGUCCACUAAAUGUCAACUUUUUAUAAGGGUAACAUCUCAAAUGCUCGAAGUAUUGAAAUAUCAUGAAAAAUCAUCUAAAUGAAAGCUUUUGGUUAGUCAUGCAAUUCUUUAUCUAAGAUGAGUUUUUGUCAAAUUUCUUACCAUAGUAUAUGUUUUCCCUGAUCCAGUUUGGCCAUAUGCAAAUAUACAAACAUUAUAACCAUCAAGAACAGAUCGAAUCAGAGGCUGUGUAUCUGAGAAUACCUCCUCUGCAGUAUGAUAAGAAAGAAGUGACUGGCUGCUCAAGAUAUUUACGUAUGAAAAGUAAGAAGCAAGACAGCAUCUCAUAAACCUUGGGUUGCUGAUGGACUGAAAAUUUUGUUGAAAUUGAAAGAUCUACGUCCUUCUUUUCCAUUCUUUGAAGGGGUGAGGAUUGUGAUAGUUCCAUCAUCGAUACAACCAAUAGUGCUACUACUUAGUUGUCCAGGUAGGAAGGGUCUAACUCGGCAAUAGACCCUGAUACUUCCUAUUAACGGGAAAAAGUGAGGUUAACACUGUAAAAAGUUAUUUCACACAAUACAAAAAUAACUAAACAGAUAGAAAGUUUACCCUUCAGAUCUUGCACUUGAUUGUAUAGCUUUCUGUUUUCUUCAAGUACUUUGUGAUAACCUGAAGCUGCAUGAGCAACGCUGAGAAGAUGCUUUCCUGUUAUACAAAAUGUGACGCAAAAGAACACAUAAAUAUUUCUUUCCAUGAGUUCAUUUAACCUUGACAGGUUCCCUAAUGAUAUGCUUUCCAUCUUACCAAGCUUACUGAAUUCCUCAGAGUACUUCAUUUGCACGAACUCCAUACCAGCUCUUGUAAUUUGAAGAGUACGUUUCAAUUCCUACAGAAGGCAUUGAAUACGGAUAUAAAUUGAUUAAUCUCACAUUUAAAUCAAGCCACCCAGGAACACCAUUGAAGCUGUGUUAUUACCUGAAUAUCUCUUUGUUGUUGCUCAAAUAUCUUAUGUUGCUUCAAAAUCUUCUCUUUUGAUGCCUCUUCUUCUUUCACAUUCUUACGAACAUAGCCCUCUUUCUUUGACCUCAUGAAAGUAAUUUCCUCCUUCUCCAUCUUAAAAAUGAUGAUGUAUUAUAGGGUUGGGUCAUUCCCACACUCAUUUAAGGACGAAGCUAUUGGAGCAAAUAUAUUAUAACAGGAUGUAAUGGUUCCAUUCUUUUAUUAUGACUAUUCAUGCUUAAAAAGUAUUUCAUAUAAGCUGCAUGAGAGAACAUUGCUUGAAAUCAAUCUAAUACAUACCUUCAUCUCACAAGAAGCAGAGGGGGGAUCUAUUGAAACCUUUUGUUUGCAAAAAGAUUUACUGUUGUCAGCAAGACCCUUCAGAGCUGUUUUCACCUGUUGAUUUUCCAAUACAAAUAAUUUUAUAGUCAUGAAUAUCAUCAUCAAUAAAUAUUUAUAGCUAUAAAAGAGUCACAACUCAAGAAGGGAUAAUAUAAUGAAGAGAAAUGAAGCACCUUCUUCAAAUAAACACACUAUAUUCACAAAUGACAGCCAAAUAGGAGGGUUGAAGGAUUUUAUUGGAAUAUGAAAUUAAAAUAUUACUUUUUUUCCUUCAAAUAAAACUGCAUACUAGAAAAACACUGGAAUAGAAUGUACCAGCUCGUUUUGGCUUGCUAUGCGGUGCUCAAAUUCUUCCAUUACUUUACCUAACAUAGACUCUAAAAGCUGCAAAUAGACAACAACAGUCUUAUCUCCCCCUUCUGCAUUCACUAAGAACAAUCAAUUAAUUAACAGGGAAAAAAUAAAUAAUCUUACCUGUGGAACUUCUUCAGGCCUCUUGCCGGAUAGGACCGCAUGUACAAGCAUACUCAGUGGACGCGAAGAAGUCUGUUUGGCAUAAUAUGCAGGAUGCUAAGCAAGGUGAAGCUAAUCAUUCAGUAGAAUGAAUUUCAAAAUUAGCACACUAACCAUUUCACUGGAUUCAAUUGAAAUGUCGCCACUUAAAUUAUGCUCCACACAUAAAACAUCAUUCUCAUUCAUUGACUGACUCCUUAACAAGGAAUUCUUGAAAGAUUCCGGAUUUUUCCUCAAGAAAUUUUUCCCUAAGUUGGAAGGUUUAGAAUUCCCACCAUAUUUCCAAGAACCAUGGCCGCCCAUUUGUUUCCAUUCACCAUAGGAUUUGAGAGCCAGAACGCAGUCCACAAUCCUGGCACUUUUCCCUCCCUGAACUUCCAGAAAGCAGGAUUGCAUAGAGAACACAAGGUUAAAAUGUAUUUUAUAUAUUUCAUCAUUAAAUUAUAAUGCAACACCUUGAAAAACUUUGACAAAGCCACAUAAUUAUCAGGUUGAAAUUAAAUGCAAUUCAAGAAAACUCAUUGUAAUAUCCAUCAAGCCUUAUUGCAGCUAAUUGAAGCAACUUACUGAAUCCACAUUCACUAAUCGUUCCAAAUCAAGAAAAUUCAAUGAAGCAAAACCAUGGAGAACAAUAUUUGAAAGAAGAAAUAAAUGAAAAGCUGGUUAACUCUAUCGACUUCCCCAAAAUGCACUUAGGAAGAAGAGUAAGAGUCUUGGAAAUCAAGAUAUAAAAUAGAACAUAAGGAUUCUUGAAUAAAAUGCCCAUGUGAACGAUCAAAACCAAAUCAUAAAUUAAAGUGAAGGAGGGACGAUUGUUAGACAAGAACUUUUAGUAUCUAAGAAUUACAAUGCCAUUCCUACCUGCUCCAAGUCAGAAGCCUCAAACAAAGGAAGACCAAUCUCUUGCACAGCCACAAGAAAGUUCCUUACAUUCUCAAAAUACUGGUAAGCCGAUAGGGCUGCACCAUCUGGGCGAAGAACUGAGUCUCCUGGAUUUACAACCACCUGAAAAGCGCAAAACCUGAGAAAAUAAACUGGUGCAGUCUAAAAAAAAGAACAAGAUAUAGCUUAAUAUUCAAUUGAGGAAAAUCAUAGAAGCCAGAGAUUUCAAUAUCUUUGUCGAAGUAGACUCACCUUUGGCACUGCACCAGGGUGAACCUUGUUGAGUGCAUUGCAAAGAAUCAACCCAUUUCUCAAUCCAAGCCUGAAUUCUUCCUCUGAAGGUUGGUCUGGCAAAUCCUUUGCAAGGACUACACCAACCACCUUUCUCAGCCACCCAGCUGCCUCAUACCUUCUUGUGGCUGGAAAAUAUAAAUCAAUGAAUUAAACGAAAAAUUUAAAAAGGAACAGAAAGAACUAUUUAUUCAUCAGUUAAGACGCAAAAAUUAAAACCCGUCACGCAGGAAAUCAUGAGACAUGCUAUAUUUUGUAGCUUGAUCCAAAAGAGAAGAUAAUUUUCAACCAACCAGCAAAUAGAAAUUAAGACAUGAAUUUUGUUGAACAUUAUCAUGAUGUAGAGAAGAAGUAGCAGCACAAAAACAUAAAAUUUUGACAUGAGAAACAUAUACAAAAAAAUGAAACAAAAAAAAUCAAUUUCAAGAGCUAUCUUGAUCAGGAAAUUCCUUUAAAAAAAACCCAGACGCAGGGUGUCUUACUUGAAUCCAUAAAAGAAGAGAUCAUGAAAAGAAGCAGCGAACUUUCCAAUCCACUGUAGCAAAGCAAUGAACAGGAAAUAAACAAAUUCAAAGUCGACCAAAUCUAUUGUAUCUAGUUUGCAAAUUACUUCCUCCAUGGCUCGCAUUUUGCCUCCUAUCUUUCGAUAAAAUUGUAGAUCAUCUGACCAUCUCAAAGAAAAAAGGAGAAAAAAAAGUAGUAGAAUUUACACGUGUUAAAUCAACAAGAGAGAAAAAAAAAGAAAGAAAGAAAAGAAAAAUUAGAAGUAUCUUGAACAACAAAUUUCAUAAAGUACAAAGAUCUCGUUUUUAACGGAAAAUGAGCAGAAAAUCUUUCACUUCUACAUCGCAACACGGCAGUAAGAACAGAUUCAUGUACAUAUCAAAUCAACAAGAGCAUUAUUCCAUCCCAGGGAGAAUUAAAAAACAAUGAUCAAAAGCUCGAAAACCCACCAGCUUCCUCCGCCUUCCUCGAAGCCAAAUCCACGUCGCUCAGCCUCGUCCCGUGCUGCUUGAGAACAUCCUCCACCACAGAAGCCACCGAUAUCGAAAAUAGCCCCUCCGACGCCAUUGCCGACCCCAAAAAAACUGCGGGAACAAAAAAAAUCACAACAACAGAGCCUCCAGUGCUAAAUCAGGCAAAAAUCCCCGCUUUCCCUUCCAUUCUCAACAUAAAAAAAAGCUCAAAAGACCUCUAAUAAACAAACAAUAAAAACUCUCGAUACAAGGGAUUAGGAAUAGAAUUGAGAUUAGGAGGAGAGAAAAGGAGAGCUGAAGCCUCUUUUGGAGGGGUGGGUGAGAGGAUAAAGGGGACGAGAGGGCGAGGAGAGCUCUUUCCGCUGGCUCUUAAUAUUUUCUCUCACGAAGACAACUACUACUCUUCUACUGUAAAGCCCUUCUAGUUUCUCCCCCACCACCCCACUCCAGGCCUCGUUCCGAACCUCCCACCCGUGGGCCGAACGGUUUCUCUUUCUUUUUCUUUUUUUUAUUGGAUGAAUCAAACAGUUCUAAUAAGGACAUAUUCAAAAAAAAAAAAAUGAUGAUCGGUUUCUCUCCGGAGGAGGCGGUGAAGUGGUGGGAAAAAAAAAUAAAGACUGACGGAUUUUAACGUUUCGUCUUUCACCUCGUCGGCUUUUGAUUUGUGCCGUUAACAUGUCGAAUGACGGGCUUGCCCUCGCGGUCGAACUUUUCCCUCUGCAGCUGUCAUGCCACGUGGCAGAGAAGAUAGGUUUCUAGAAACAUUUUUCUUUCGUUUCGUUUGGAGUCUUGUGGUUCAAGGCAAUGUUGAUAGUUUGGAUCCUCUAUGAAACUGAAACUAAGGUCUAUUUGAUGAUCCAGUUUAUUUUUUAAUUUUUAAAAAAUAUUUUCUUUGUUUCCAAACAUUGUGAAAGCAAAAAAAAAUUCUGUUUUUUUAUUUUUAAAAAAUUAAAAUUAUUUAUGGUUAUUACUACCAUCUCAACCGACCCUCACUACCACUACCCAAUACAAGUAACUAGCAAACAAUUUUUGAAUUUUUAUUUUAAAUAUAAAUAAAUAAAAUUAUUUUUAAUUUAGGUUUUCUACAUGAUAUAAAUAUUAAAUUUUGUAUAAAUAAUCUUCCAAAAUUGAUAAUUUGCAUGUAUUCCCUCGUAAAACAAUUGUUUUGCUUUCUACUUUUUUUUUUAUUCUUAUUUUUGCAUACGUACUCACGCCAUCUAACGUCGUUAAAAAAUUAACGGUUUCAAUUAAAAUGAUUAAAAUAUCCUUAAUUGAUAGAUUGGUAAAAAGAAAUAUUUAUAAGGCAAUCGUGAUAGAGAAUAAAAAAGUAAUUUCUAAAUUUUAUUUUAUUUUUAAUUAAAAUAAAUAUAAUUUUUAUUAAUAGUGUUAGAAGAACCAUUAGAUUAGCGACAUUUGUGCAAAAACAAUGUUUUCUGAGGGUACAUAAAUAAAUAUAAAUUUUAAGACGGUAUUUAUGCAAAUUUGAAUUUUUAAAAGGGUAUUCAUGCGAAAAGUUUAGAACUAAAAAUUAAAAUGAUGUUAAACAUAAGCUUAAUCCCCGCUUCAAACUGCCUGCUAUAAGCACUAGGUUUUGAUUGGAUACUGAAAUGCUUUAAUAGACGACAGAUUUUCGAUACUUCUAUCUUUAGAGCAGAGCUGCGGGUAGCAUGGGAGGGCAUCUCCUACGCGAGGCGCGUUCUAGGUGUGGAGUGCAUCCACCUGGAGGGUGACUCGGCCCUGUGAUCGAGAGGGUCCGCGGUCGAUAGUGGGCAGUUCCUACUUCGUGACAUACGGUGGAUGGCUCGAGAGUGUGGCUACUUCAAGGCCACUCAUGUAUAUUGAGAGGCCAAUAUAGCGGCCAACUACGUGGCCUCCUACGCGGCACAUCACUCUGGAGCUUUUCUUUGGGUAGACCAGGUAGAUGUACCUUAUUUAUUUAGUCCGCUUUUUUCUUUUCUUUUCUGAUUUCAAUGGCUGUACUCAUAUAUGUAUAGUGUGAAGAGCCAGUAUACCAAAAAAAAAUGCUUUAACAAAGCUAUUUUUUAAAUUCCAAAAACUCUGGUAUAUAUAAAGCGGUUUGAAAUGGAAACAUGUAGUAUUUUCCUUAACCCAACUAAACUUGAUAGUAGUAAUUACUUCACUAUACUUCUAAUUCACUAAUAUAGUAUAGCUACACUUGUUGAAAAUUCAUAGAAUUUGAGUGCAUGCUUGAUUAUAAUAGACCGAUAUGAAUUGGAUGAGAAUGAAAACCCUCAAUUUUUAAUAAUAUUUAUUGCAUAUAAGUUAGGACAACUUUAUUUCUUUUAAAUGGUAAGAGAACUCCAUAUAGAUCAUUUUGGCCUAUGAAAUCUAUCGUGAAUCCAAGGAUGUAGAUGAUUUGUUGCCUUAAUAUACAUCAAAGGAUUCAAAGUCUACUAAUUACGUCACAUGCAAAGCUUGUAAAAUCUCACUAAAUAUAUCAAGCAAGCAUCGAUACAAGUAGCAAUAGCAAAAUUGUUUGAGUUAUUACCUCUUAUUUGCCUUUGUUUUUUGGCACCUUAUGGUUGUGCAUUACACAAAGACAAGCAUUCCUGCGUUUGGGCAUGUGAAGUUUCAAUGCAUCCACAUUAGAGGACUUAUAAAUUAGGAUAAAGUUCAAUAUAUUAUGCAUCCAUGGCAGAUAUAGUGUUAAAAAAUAAUGUUUAAUUAAAGGAAAUAAAUUUGAUCGAAUGAAAGCAAAAUCAACAAAUUUGACAAUCUUAAAGAUAAGCUAGCAGCACAAGAUACUGAAACUAGAAGGUCAUGAUUCAAUUGUAGGAUAGCCAACUCUGCACUAAAUGGGACACAUUGGUUAGGACUCAAUACAGUAAUUGGAAAUAAUCUCUCUCGCAUUUAAGACGGGGGCAUAUAGCAAUUUAGCUGAGCUAUGAUGUAUCUCUUAAACUCUUUUUUUUCAUAAGUGAAAGGUACAUUUAAUAGGAAUACCUAAACAACUAGUAUCUAUAUGCACCAAAAAAACAACAAAUAUUUGCUUGGCUGAAUUCAUGGGAACAAGACCCUGAGAGGAGGAAAAAAAAGGAAAAAGGAAAGGAUUUUCUAUGCCCCAAGCCAGCAGUGCAUGGAAAUUUCCUGAUAUGACAUUUGGGUAUCCUGCUUUUUCUAGAGCUUUCUGCUAAUUUCACCUGUUGGAUCAUAUGUGGGUGAGCUAAAUGAUGCUGCUUCCCUGUCCUUAGAACAAUUUCCUGAAAGUAAGGAAGUUGUUGCUUGGUUGCAAUCUCAUCUAUCAGAAUUAGGUACUUGUUUCCUUAAUAAAAAAAUUAAGUACCUGUUUAAGUUGAUAAAUAAACUUAUAUAGGCUUAUCCUCCUAAGACUUAAUUAUAUGAAAAAUGAUAAAUUAUGUUGAUUCCAUUACAUGUUAANNNNNNNNNNNNNNNNNNNNNNNNNNNNNNNNNNCUUGUCAGGUAGAGGACAAGCUUCCAUUCUUUGGAUUCAGACCCAAGCAGUCUUCUCCUGCUUCUCUUGUUAAUUAUGAGAAGCAUAAGAAGGAUCUUCCACUGGUUGCAGGUAUUCAAGUUCACUCCUCCCUCUUAGCUUUUCAACUUCAAUAUCCUUCCUUUUAUUCUGAAGAAAAUUCAGUAUCAUUACUUUUUUUUUUGAGGAAAUCAACAUCUCUACUUCUUGAGUUACUGUUAACAAUGAUUAGAGUCUUUUCCUCGUGUACCUUUUACCCUCUCAUCCUUGGUGGUUGGCUGCAUCCCAAACAGUGCCCUUUCCUCUGACAACAUGACAUGCUUUUAUUUUGCUGUUAAUUAGGUUACUAGAAACACUACAGUCAAGAUGUCAAUACUAAAAUAUCCUGCUCAUAUCCUUGUGACAAGCUGAGAUUAGUGCAGUUCAUGAGGUUGCUGAUCAUGAUAUGCUACAUCAACAUUUUUUUAUGGAAAUAAAGUUGGCAUGAAAAUUGUGCAGGCAUGAAUGAAAUGUCAUAGUAUUUUUAUAAUUUUUUUAGCCAAUAAUUUGAUUCAUCUACAGCAUGAUUCUAGUUGUUAGACUAAGGUGAGCAAGAAACAUAAAGAAGAUAAAGUUUAUCGACCUUUGUUAAAAGAUAUAGAGACAAUAACUAUUAGCUUGGUUGGCAUCCUUCUCCUAAGAUCUUCUUCUUAAGAAGGUUCAGGAUGGCGCAUUACCACUCAAUUGCUAUAGAAAAAGAGAAAGGAGAUGAUGAUGCAAAUAAUGGUGUCUUUAAAUAAUUCCAAGAUCGAUGAUAUUUUUGUUAUGUUAUUUUUGUAGAUCCAUAAUUUAGAAGAUAUUUGGACCAGAUAAUUGUCGUUCAAUCGAAUGUCCAGCUAGUGGUUUAAUCAGAUUCUCCACAAACUGCCCCAUAUCAUUUUAGUACUUCUCUAAACUAUCAAAGGUUCAAAAGUUUCAAUCAGUGAAAAAAAAAAACUGAAGCUGGCUAUAUCUUUCUUGAGAAAAAGGAGAGAGACUCGCUCAUACCAUAAUCAUCUUGUCUAUAUUUUGUGAAAAAAAAAGAGGAUCCACUUAUAUUAUAAUUAUCCAUGUCUAUAUUUUUAAAAAUACCAUCAAAAAAUCAAAUGAAAAAUCCCUAGUUCCCAAACUUAAAGUUGUAAUCAUUAGGACAAGCCCAGAUUCGAACUUAGGUGUGUUGACACUUGCUCUAUCGAAAGUUUAUAGGUUUAUUGAUUUCAUGUCACUAUAAGUCAUCUUUCCAAUUAGCCCUAUUUGACAUGAUAGUAUUUCUAUUGUUGCCUACAAACCCUUUUUUGGCUUCUUACUCAAACAUCAUAUAAAUUUAACUACUUUUAGUAAAAAUCUAAUGUAUCUAAUUUUUCCAUAAACAUCUCGGAUCACGAGCCAAAUGCAAAAGAUUUAUAUUCUAAUGGAAGUUUGUUUGAUCCCUAGGAAAAUGUUUAAGGGCAACAUGGGAUUGAGAACCCUAAACAAAUCGACCCCAAUGAGGCAGGGUUAUUAAUCCAUUCAAAGCCAUUGCCUAUGGUGGGCCGGCACCAAAGAACAUGUCCUUAACCUCUUAACGCAUUCAUCUAAGUGCUAACAUACUUUGUAAUUGUUGUUUGUUGUUAUGUCAUUUUCCAGUCUGUUUGCUUCUUUCUACCGAAAAGCAUUUGCUGGACCGGGACCUGGUUUCGAAGAAGUUGGUACCCUCUCUCCCUUAAAGGCACCAGGUUGCUUUUGGACCUUCUAAGGUGCAGUCCCAUUGGUGGUGUGAUCUAGGUACAUGGUUUGGAGGCUGUUCGAGCCCUGUGGUUAGGUAUAAUGUCCAUUGACCACAAGGUUGUAUGCCUAUGGUGGACUCAAUGUCUAGCUGAGACAUUUUGGAACCGACUUAAGCUGAUAAGAUGAAUUGACCAAUGAAAGCUCGCCACCUAGCCACGGGUUGACAAUUUAAAGCUUGCCACAUAGCCCACCCAAAAGACAUGCGGAGAGUUCUCUACAUUUCAAACUCUUUCCGCAGAUGACAACAACUCGGCCGUAUCGCUAGCUAUUUUCUAACAAAUGUGAUACUCGAGUAAAUCCCGCUAUCGAGAAAUACAGGAGAGAUUCACAUGCGAGAUAUGUGAUUUGUUACCUUAUCAAAUGACGUAUCUUCCUCAAAUUACUUAGCGAUGAGUUCUGGCCUUUGCCUAUAUAUUGCACUCCUGGGUUCUUUAGGUAAGUUUUCUUUCAAUUCUCUUGUGUUGCAUGUGCUUAUCUCAGGCUUCCUCCUGUUUUCUGAGAGUUGGUAUAUGACUUAGGCAUCGGAGAGUUACUCGUCGGACAUGCUCUGAUGGAUGAACUUUUUUAUUUUUGUUGUUUUAGGUUGGAGCCAACGUUAGAACGCUAUCUAAAGCCAUUCCUCUGCCUUCCAACUCCACCAGAUCAUCACCGUAGAGGCGUGUAACAGUCCUAUUCGAUCUCUCUAAUCCGAACCAUUUCAAGUUGGAGCCAGCAUUAGAGUGCUACCGAAGCCAUUCCUCCGCCAUCCAACUCUAUCAGAUCAUUGUCGUAGAGGUGUGUAACGAUCCUAUUCGAUCUCUUUGUUAUGGAUGGCAGACAAGCUGGAAACUUCAGCGACUGCCAUCAACUCGGUGCCUGGUUUGGAAUUGUUCCCAGCAGCUACAGGGGUUCUUUAUCAAAUCAAUAUAAUCAUUUAGAACAAAGAAAUCAUGGAUCAUCUAAUUAUUGGGCAGUUUAUGAUUAAUUGAAGACAAAAUUCACAUACAACAAAUAAUCAAUAUGAAGUCGAAGAUGGCUCCACUUUUACCGGAUAGGAAAUUAUUGUAGGGCAAUAGACCUCUUGAACUACCAACUUCCAUAAGUCAAUUAUUAAGCUAGAAUUAUUAGAUAAUAAUAUAAUAUUCUAGAAUGAGUUUGAAUGAUGAUCGAAUCUUAUAUGUGUACCCUAAUUUGGGAUGUGAAACUCAAGCUUAGCGGCAUGUCAAGUUCAUGAUAAAUUAGGGGAAAAGGAUUUUUCGCAUAUAUAUGUUCUUAAAUUAUAUAUAUAUAUAUAUAUAUAUAUCCUAUAUUUAUAUGGGUAUACAUGUAAAAAAGAUUAACUUAUAAGGAUAUAUAUGUAAAUAGUAAUUUUGUGAGAAUGUAUCUAUAAUUUCAAAUAUUUAUAAAGAUAUACUAUAAGGACCAGUGUGGGUGUGUGUUUAGUCCUACAUCGUUUAUUCGCCGGGAAGAUCUUAAGUAUUUAUAAUAAUACCUUCUGGCUAGCUAUUUUGGAUGAAGUCUUAGUUGUUACAAAUGGUAUCAAAGCAGAUCUGACCGAUGACUGAUAUAGAUUAAGGAGCACUGCAGCAUGGGCUGAUGGAGGCUGUCCACGGGCUGAUUGUAGUGCCUGUGAUUAGAUUUGAAUACAUGUAAACUCUUAGUCUGACGAGGACGUUAGGAUUUAAAUGGGGAAAUAUGUGAGAAACUAUAUGAGAGUGUGUUUAGUCCCAUAUUGUUUAUCCGUCAAAAAAUUUUGGGUACUUAUAAAUUACUUCUAAAUAGCUAUUUUGAAUGAGAUCAAAUUAUAUAAAAAAAUAUUUUUAAUAUAUAAAUUUUCUACGGAAGCAGUAUUAUUAGUAUCAGAUUCUGUCAUGCUCUCACUAUCAGAUCAGCCUGGUCAGCCUUAAAGAGUAGUUGCAGGUUGACAACCAAUGGAUUCAAAAACCCGCCCAUAGGCUAAUAUCAAGAGUGCCGCUUAGCUAAACUUCUAUUCGAUAUCUUAUACGGGCACGGGUACAAUUCGCUAGAAAAUGAUGAUUUUUUAAAAUAAUAUUUUUAAUAUUUCCUUUCAUCACAUCACUAAACCUGGUAACGAAGCGGCUCCUUGGCACGUUCACUUCAGAGACAAUCCCAAGAAGGCGCAGACCAUGCACGUGCCUACUGACGUCCCAACGUUCCGAAAAAAUUCAAACGGAGGCUCGGGGUCGGAACCAGAAAGGUUCGGGCUCGGCACCAGCGAGACUCGGGAGCUCCCGCUUUGAGUGGGUAGCUUCGAUUAAUCGAUGGGGGAAAAAAGAGAAAGUUCCAAGUGGGGCCCGAGAGGCGCGUCUUCGGGGGAUGGGCGGGGCCCACCUUCCUCGCGCCGGCCGGCCUGGGUGUAUCUUUCGCGCGACAGAAUGAUGGCCGUUGGAUCUCUCCCUGAACAGCUCUCAAAGCAGUCCGAACUCUUCAUCAGCGGCCAAAGCGCGAUCCAACGGUGGAUUUGCGCGAAGGAAGGUGAAUCCUUGUUUCGCGCGAAAGAUGCAACCCCUGUCCGGCCACGACAAAGGGAAAGGGCAAAGCCAAAGGCAGCCGGCCCCGCUCCCACCCGGCUUGUAAGGGGCGGGUCCUUCGCCGGAAGACUGGGUGGGACCCGCGGCCGAACACUAUGAACCCCCCGCCGAGCAAAGAUUUCUCUCAUGCGGCCUGCUGAUAGAAGACGGCAAUGCAUAUAAAAAACUCCAGAUAAAAUGAAACCCUUCUAAAGAGAGUAUAAGAAAUGAUGAGCGUACUGUACAAUUGUUUUGGUCACUUAUACAUGGAAUUUUUUCAAUAAGAAACUCUCAAUUUUUUUAGUUAUUUUAUGAAAUUUUUUUUGAAAUAAUUGGCUCGUACAACUUUAGAAUGGAUGUAUUAAGAUAAUCGGAAAAUGAAAUAUCCCAAAAGUGAAAUGAAAUAUCACCAUAAGUCUUCCUGCUGAUGUCUCCCGAAUGCUCAGUCAUAUAGAAAGCUACCCGGCUAGCCGCACCAUUCACCUCGCAAUAAGCAUGAAUCGCCUAGAAUUCAUCAAGGUUUUGAUAAUAUUUCAAAUGUCUCGGAGGAGUGGAUGGUCCCACCCAUAACCGGCCGGCCUAGCCACCCACCUGCAGCAUCUUUAAAAAAAUUUGAUUCAAGUGGUGUUUCCAAGCAAACUAUUUUGCUGUUAACCAACAGAGUAUUUUUAGCCAAAAUAUGAACACUCUUUUGAUGUCCCCAGCUUCACAUGCCAACCAAAGCACUAUAUUCUAAGUCAAAUUCAUUGCUGACCCUUUGUUGGAACAAAUCUCAACAAACUUAAUCACUAGGCAAGGAUUUGAACUAAAAAAAGAAGGAAACGCAAGUGUGAUUCAUAGGUGGACUAGCUAUUAAGAUGAUAUUUGAUAAUUAAAAAUUUCAAUAAUUUGCAGUCAGAUAUUUGUCUUUUUUUUAAAAAAAAUUCUAUAACCUUUAGUUUCUGCAUGAGGGUGUAACCAUUGAGGCGACACCUAAUACACAAAGUUA
RNAcentral lists this long non-coding RNA (67704 nucleotides) under Phoenix dactylifera (date palm). RNAcentral describes it as "long non-coding RNA (PDAC_LNC005080)". Lineage: Eukaryota; Viridiplantae; Streptophyta; Magnoliopsida; Arecales; Arecaceae. The record is from RNAcentral.